Molecule: long non-coding RNA, 46158 nt
Filed under: Theobroma cacao (cacao)
Lineage: Eukaryota; Viridiplantae; Streptophyta; Magnoliopsida; Malvales; Malvaceae
Description: long non-coding RNA (TCAC_LNC000971)
Source: RNAcentral
CCAUACCCAUUUUUCAGAAUUGAAUUCAUCAUGAUAACUCAAUAUUCAACCAUGGAAAUCAAGAACAAAAGCAUGGGUAAGCUAGGUAUCAAUGAGAAUUAAAGAAAUUCUAACUUACCUAGUUUGUUUCCUUGAUUUCUUCACUUUUUCUUUGAAUUUCCACCUAGAUUUUCUUGUUUUUCCCUUUGUUCUUCCUUUGUUCUUGUUGCUGGUUGCCUAGGCUGAAUAUGGUGAGAGAAUUGGGGAUUUAAUGGGCUGAUUUCUAUAGAAAAUAAUAAAAUAAUCAAGCUUGCCAUGUGUCACAUGCUUAUUGGCCCAUUUUUUUUAACUUUUUGACUUUUUCUUCUAAAUUUUCCACCACAAAUAUUCUGGUAUUUAUCCAAUCCUACCACAAUUAAAAUCCCUUGGUCUUGACAAGUACUGGGGUGAAAAAUUUACCGAUUUGCCCACGAGAUAAAAAAAUUACGAUUUUACCCCUAUACUCCGAAAUGUACCGAAAUCACAUCAUUUCUACUUUUCAACCUCAAAUAACACUAAUAUUGAUCAAUAUUAACCAAAUGGGGCAAAAAUCGUUUUAUAAAAAUUCUCAUUUAGUCCUCUAGUGGCAAAAUUACCAUUUUGCUCUUGUGCUCCAAAAAUACCGAGAAUUACAAUUUUUCACUACUAAACAUCAUUUUAUACUCCAAUAAUCAUAAUUAUAUUUCAUAUAAUUAUUCUUGGUCAAGUGUGAUCAAAUCUUGGCUAAAAAUCUCCACUUUAUCAUCAAAUGGUAAAAUGACCGUUUUGUCCCUAAUCGGUCAAGUUUCCUGAUUGACUCCACACUGGACCUUGAACUCCGAAUCACUAUUCUAAGCCAUUCUGUGGGUUUUAGAAUUUUCAAAUUCCUCUUAGAAUUUCUAUUUGAACUAGUUCAAGGCUCGAUUUAACUUAGUUGUACCACUCGGUACAAUACCGUCUUUUAAUCGAGCUUGACAGGGUCUCACAUAUAAAUAUGCCUCCUUUAUUUAAUGGAUCAAACUAUCCUUAUUGGAAUACUAGAAUGUCCAUUUAUGUUAGAACUUAUGACUAUGAGAUGUAGGAUGUUUUUACCGAUGGUCCUUUCAUUCCUAUGAUUACUAAUUCGGUCAAUGGUGAGAAAACUCCCAAAGAUAGAAGUAAGUGGACUGAAGCUGAAAUGAGGAGAGUACAAAUCAACUCUAAGGCCAUGCACACUCUCAUUUGUGCACUUAAUUAUAGAGAAUAUGAUAAAGUGUUCAUGUCUAAAAGUGCCACGAAAAUUUGACAAAAAUUAGAAGAGUUAUAUGGAGAAACAAAGAUGCAAAAGGAAUUGGAAGACAACUCUUGUGAGAAUCAAUGCUUAACAAGCAACAUGGAAAAUGCAGACAAGGAAUCAAGUGAAGAUAAAUCCUCAAAUCAAAUUGAAUUAUGCCUCAUGGCUCUUGAAGAGAUAAACGUAACUUCUUCAUCUUGUGAACUUAAUUCAUAUGCUUUUGAUGAAUUUCAUGAUGCUUUUGAGGAUUUAGCAUUUGAGUUUGAGAAAAUGAAUAUGAAGAACAAGAAAAUUAUUUUCAUACUGAAUGUUGAAAAUGGAUUUUUGAUGAAAACAAAAAUUGACUUGGAAAAAGAAAAAGAAAAUUUGGAAAAGGAUUUUAAAGCUUACCAAAAGGAAAUUGAUAUUUUGGAAAAAAGAAAUUUUGAUAUGAAAAUAAAAUUUGAAGAUUUAUUGAAUGAGAAACAAAAGGCUUCCAUGAAUUCCUCAUCUUCCAAAAUGACCAAAUACAAUCAUUACAUAUUUUAUAGUUAUUGUUCAUACACUUGUUCAAUUAAAAAAUGUGUGCCUUACAAAUUUAGACAAGUGUGGAUUCCAAAAGGAACUUUAUGCAACGAGAUUAACUUUCAAGGAUCCAAAGCAAUUUGGAUACCAAAGAUUAAAUGAAAAAUAUCUCUUAUAGGUGUGCUAGAGCAAGGAGGAACAAUUCUUGAAGAAUGGAUGCUCUCUAGUCACAUAUAGAGGAAAAUGGUGAUUUCUAUGCUCAAUUUUUAAUGAGAAUCUUGAUUGCUUAUUUAUUGAAUGUUUCAUUCAUUUGGCUGAGUUUCUAAAAUUGUUUGCUUUUCUACAUUGAAAAUUUUAGUUGCCUAUUCUUGCUUGAAUAUUAAGUGCAUAAUUCUUUGAGCUUUAUUGAUCAAUCUUGGCUACGCAACUUUAUUUGAUAUGAUACAUGCUAGAAGUUGCAAGUAAGUAUGAAUUUAAAGAUUGAGUAUGUACCUAUAUUUGAUCUUGAAUAUAUCAUCAUCCUUAUUUUGAGAAAAUUGUUUUAUUAAGAUUGCUUGAUUAUGGAAAAUUGUUUCUAUCAAAUUUCCUCAUGAUUUGUGGAAUUGUUUCCAUACUACUUCUGUGAGGAAAAAUAAUUUUUGAGCAUAAUUUUGAAACAUAAAAGGUUGGAUAAUGUGAUAGAAAUAUGAGCAUACUUGAUGACUUACACUAACAACUAUUCAAGUAGCCUAAAACAAGGAAAAUUGAGUUAAAAAAAAAUUGUCCUUGAUUUCCUUGUGUCUAGCAUAUGUUGACCAUUUGAACAAUCUUGAUCUAAAUUCUAGAACUUCUUUGAAUAGUUCAAGAUGGUUGAUAAUGAGCUUGAAAGUUUUGACCACUUGAAUUAGUACUUUUAAAGCAAAAUGAGCUUAUAUGAGAAAAAUAUUGCCAUAUUUUAAGUUUAGAAUGAUUUAUGAAUUGAACAAGUUUGUUUCAUAAUGAAAAAUACUUAUGACUUGUUCUUAUUGGAUGUGCAUGCUUGCUUGUAAACUUGAAUGGUCAUAAGGGCAUUUUUGGAACAUAAUUGUGAGAUAUUUGCAAAUGACCCUUGACAUGCAUAUACAUUAUUCAUUAUGCCCAUUACAUAUUUCAUAAAUCAUUGAGAGCAUAAUGAAACAAAAUUGAGUGAUAUUGAGCUCAUGAUUUUUCACAAAGCAAGUCUAAUCUUGAAUGUUUCAAGUUAAAAAGUUUGUAAAGAAAGAUUAAAUCUUUAUCAAUUGAUUUUCUUGUGAAAUCUUUUUAUUCACUUUGAUUGAAAUUGAUUCAUUGUUUUUGGUGAUAUAGCAUGGUUGAGCAAAACUGAUUUGAUACAUGAAUUGCAUAAAUCCGAUUUUGCUUGGUAUUUCUCUCAUGAUUGGUGAAAUUGAUUGAAAGGGAUUUCUUAAGCAUGAUCUUAAAUGUGAUAAUUUGGAAUUAAUGGCAUUUUUGAAGCAAAAGAACAUAUCUAUUUACAAUGUUUGACAUCCUUGAGAUUACAAUGAUUUCAAUGAUAUAUAACUUGAACAAGUAUACCAUGUGUUGAAAAUGCCAUUAUAUCUUGUUCUUGUUGCAAAUGAUUGCUUGAAUAACCUUAAGGGCAUUUUUGUCCAUACAUUGAAAAAUUGUUGAAAAUGCUAAAUUUGAUGCUUAUUAUGCUUAAACAUUGUUUAAAUGCUUGUUGUACAUGUUAUAAGUUAUAGUCACGCAUCAUGAUGUAAAUUGAAUAUGUUUGAGCAUAUUAGAGACAUGAUUCUUCAAUGAGCAUUUCAACUUUUUAACACUUGUGAAUAAUAAGCAAUAAAGGCUAAAAUUUGAGUUCACAUGUUUUUCUUGAAGAAUCUUUGAUCAUACAUGUCCAAAAUAAUGUUCCAAACAUUGUUGAAAUGAAAUUCUAAAUUGUUCUCACACAAAUUCAUGUUUUGAGAUCAUUAUACCUUGGCAUAUUGCAUGUUUUGCACCUUUUUCUAGCUUUUCAAUGUGUAGGAAUCCAGCAUAAUUGACUCCUUAGCCUAGCUAGUCGACUAUUGAAGAACAAAAUGCAAAUGCUGCUAGAAUGAUAAAAAGUGGGCCCAAGGGAUAAGUAAUCGACUCUUGAGUGCCUUAAAGCCAAAAUGGACAGGUUUUGUGUUCCAAAAUAUCUUUUUACUUUACUUCUUGUCCAUUACAAUAUUUUCUUCUUUGAAUUUCCUUUUCAAAGAUGAUUCUUGACUCUUAAAAACAUGCAUUAUGAAUACUUUCAUGAUCAUUUGGUGCAAGUACAUGUUCCUAAAAUUGCAAAACUUGCUGAAAAAUGGGAAAUCCUUUUUAAUGACAUAAUCUAUCUAUUCCCGAGCAUGACACUCAUAUUGAUUCCAUAAAUUCUCAUGUAUUUACAACGACAAAAUAGAAAUAUGAGAAAUUGUUCAUCAAUCCUUGAAUUUGUUAAUCCGAUUGGAUUUUCAUGUGUAUAUAUAGAAAAUAUCUUCUCAUGAAAAUUGAAAUGUUCAAAUGCUAGUCUAGGAGCAAUUCUUGAAAUAUAUUUUACGUUUGUGCUUAAAUGAUUGUUUCAAAAUUGAUUUCUUGAUUAUGCACACUUAUUCGAUUAAGAUGAACUCACUGAACUUAAUGAAAAUAUUCUUGGUUCAUUUACUAUAUUGGUCAAGACACAUGCUUAUAUGAUUUUUCUUUAUGCUUGACCUUAAGGUUUGAAGUCUAAAACUUGACUUGAGCUAUGCAUUUGAACAUGAAUGUAAUUGUCAUUGAUUAUGAGGAAACUUUCUUGCCUGUCAACAUGAUUAAAUCCAUUCAAAUUCAACUUGCUAUUAUUGCAUAUCAUGAUUAUGAGAUAUGACAGAUGGAUGUAAAGAUAGCAUUCAUUAAUGGGUCCAAGGAGAAUCAACAUAAAGUAUGCAAACUUUGAAAGUCCAUUUAUGGCCUAAAACAAGCGUCUAAGAGUUGGAACAUUAGAUUUAAUGAAACUAUUAAAGAAUAUGGUUUCGUCAAGAAUCUUGAUGAUCCAUGUGUUUACAAUAAGGUGAAUGGACAAGCAGUUGUAUUUUUAGUACUUUAUGUUGAUGUCAUACUACUAAUAGGAAAUGAUAUACUAAUGUUGCAAACUGUUAAGAUUUGGUUAUCCAAACAAUUCUUCAUGAAGGAUUUGGGAUAAUUAACCCAUAUUCUAGGCAAAAGGAUUUAUAGAGAUAGAUCAAAGAGAAUGCUAGGAUUGUCUCGAUUCACUUACAUAGACAAGGUGCUAAAUAGGUUUAGUAUUCCAAGAAGGGAUACUUGCCUACAUCUCAUGGCAUUCAUCUCUCAAAGGAUAUUUGUCCAAAGACACAAGAAGAGAGAAUGAGAAUGGAUAAAAUACCAUAUAAUUCGGCUAUUAGAUCCAUCAUGUAUGCCAUGUUAUGCACUAGACUAGAUGUGGCAUAUGCUCUGAGUGUUACAAGCAAAUACCAUUCGAAUCUAGGUGAGAAUCACUAGAUUGUUAUGAAAAAUAUCUUUAAGUACUUACAAAAAACUAAAGAUGUUUUCUUGGUCUAUGGAAGGGCUCAACUCCAAGUUAAAGGAUCUGGAGAUGUUACAUUCCAAUCCAAUAAGGAUGACAUCAAAUCGUAAAGUGGGUUUAUAUUUUCCAUAAAUGGUAGUGCAAUAAGCUGAAAAAGUUUCAAGCAAGCAAUGACUGUAGAUUCACAACUGAGGCUGAAUACAUCUCUAUGUCUACGGCAACGAAAGAGGGAAUUUGGAUCAAGAAAUUCAUAACUGAACUCGGCGUGGUUCUCAGCAUUGUUGAUCUUGUAACUUUGUACUAUGACAACAAUGGAGCCAUUGCACAAGCAAAGGAACUAGGGUCUCAUCAGCAAUUUAAACAUGUACUGCAGCAUUAUCACUUGAUCAGGGAGACCAUAGGGAAAGAUGAUAUUAAUAUAGAGAGAGUACCUACAGAGGACAACUUAGCUGACCCUCUCACUAAAGUUCGAUCCUAACAAAAACAUGAUUGCCACUUGGAGGGCUUUGGUAUUAUGGGCGAUAGGCUUUAAUGCUAGUGGGAGAUUUUUAGUGUAAGCCCUACAAGCCAAUCGGUUUUGUGCUUGUAAAACAAUAUAUUAAUUAGUCAUAUUUCAUGUUAAAUACUAUAGUACCUUGUAUUUUGAUACGGUAGCUAAUAAAGUUUAUAGAUGCCAAUUGAGGUUAAUUAUCGAGUUAAAAAGGGUAAUUCAGAAGUGAACCUGUGAAAUCUCGAUCUCCAUAUACACAUAACUAGAAGUAGACGCGAUAAUGCGGACUAGGGGUAAUUUCAUAAUUUUUCUUGGUGAGCUUCUACGAGUGGGUUUUUUUUUAUGUUAUUAAGGUCUGAAUAGGCCUAAGGAAUGAAUGAAUGAUGUUUAUGAUGGUAAAAUAAAUGAAGAAGAUAAAAAUAAUGAUAAUUUCUAUGAUAGGGGCAAAAUGGUCAUUUUACAUCUCGGGUCUAAAUUUUUAUGUUUUUGUGAACCCGAGUAUUUCUAGACUAUUAUGGACCUUGCCCCAGUGUCAAAAGAGUAAAAAGUUGCACAAAGGAUGAGAGGAAGACAAAGUCACCAUGUUAAGGGCAUUUUGGUAAUUUAUGUGAGAAAUGGAUAAACUUUAGAUAUAAAUAUCUAAAGCUCUAGCAAAUUUCCAGCAGCUUCCAGCAACUCUUCUUCUUCCUCCCCUCUCUUCUCUUCAUUUCAUGUUUUCUUCAUCUUCCAUGGAAGCCUCCCAUGGUAACCCUAAACCUUGUGUUUUUCUACACCUUUUCAUAGGGUUUUUCAUACUCUUUCUCUUCUACACCUCAAAAGCCCUUAAAGGUAUUUCCUUGGUAUAUUUUCUCACUAGCUGGACAAGUGGAGAGAGAGAGGGAGAUUGUCCACAAUAGCUUAGAAGCUUUUGAAAAGGAAUUCAACUACAAAAAAAAAAAAAACCACCAAGGUGAGUAAUGAAUUAGGUUUAAUUUUCAAGCUGUUGAUAAUGGUUGAUGAUUAGAGUGGUGAGUUAAUCUAUUGUUGAGAUUGUUAGUCAUUUUUAGAGUGACUAGAGUAGAGUAAAGAAAUAGCCACUUAAUGGUAAUUGGGAGCUAGUUAGUAAUAACUAGCUAAACUUGAAUUAAGAAAUAGCUUUUGAGAGUGUAUUAAUGCCAAUUUGAGUUGAUUAAGGUGCUAUAGUGUGUAUAGGUUCCAACAAGGCCUCACAUGUCCAUUUGAAGCAUUAGUUGAGGCUAGAGUCAAGCAAAAGAAUCAACAAGACUGGUGAGUGAACUUGCAUCAAAGUGUUUUUGGGAAAUACAUAUGUGUUGGGGUGAAGCAUUUAAAUGAUUUUACUUGGUUUUUCAUUAAAUUAUGCAUGGGAACAAGCCCUUAAUAAAAUGUUUUGAUGUUGUGAAAAUGUGAAAUGUGUAAAAAGAUGAAUCCAUGUUCUCCUAUAUUAUGUUGGUAUGUAUAUAUAUGAAUAUAUGUUGUGCAUUCACGAAUAAUGUUGUGUGAUAAUGAUGACCUAGCUAUAUGCGAUGUGGGAGUGCACAUGAGCUGAUGAUGACCCGGCUAUGUGCGAGUAGGGAGUACGCAUAAGCCGAUGAUGACCUGGCUAUGUGCGAGUAGGGAGUGGGCAUAAGCCGAUCAUGAUGACCCUACUAUGUGCGAGUAGGGAGUGCGUAUAAGCCGAUGAUGACCCGACUAUGUGCGAGUAGGGAGUGUGCAUAAGCCGAUGAUGAUGACCCGACUGUGACGAUGAAUGAAGUGGGGUGGUGUACGUGUUUAUAUAUGUUUAUAUAUGUAUAUGCGAUGAAAAGUUUAUGAUUAUAAUAUGCGAUUGAAAUGAAUAAUGAGAAACUUGAUUAUUGUCAAUGUGUUCGCUUUGAUGUGCAAUAUGGUAGGAAUGGAUUUUGUGGCAUGUGAAAACCCCGAAAUUGUCAUCUGCCCUGAAUCUUGCUACAGUGAGAAACUCUCGGGUGGUGGGGCAUAAACCAGCCCUGUUUCUUGCUGCAGCAAAAAAAAAAUUCUCGCUACAGUGAGGAAUUUCGCUGCAGCGAAAAUGGAUUCUUGCUGCAACGAGAAACUCUCUGAUAGACCAAAUUUUUGGUGCCAUACUUCCACUUUGAAAAUAAUUUUGACCACAUUCCAGUCAUAAAUGGGAAAAGUAAUCAACAUAAAAGUUGUAUAUCUUUCUCUUAGCUUUCUAAUAGUCAAAAUAUUAGGUUAAUUGGACUUCUGUAGUGGGAGAUAUACUAGAAAAACUGAAACAUAUGCAAACUGAGACUAUUUCUCGCUGCAGCGAGAAACUUGCUGCCAUGCUUACUACCUUGCUUGAUUUUGACAUAUUUUUCACCCAUUUAACUUCAUGGGUUGUUCAUGGGUUUUUUCAACACUAUGAGGUUAUUAAUCAAAGUUUGAAAUGAGGGGUUUUUAGUAAGAAAUUAAAUCAAUUGCAUUGUUUAUGAAACAAGUGCAUCAUGAUUUUCAAAUUCUUCCUAUCGAUUGCUUGUUCCCUUCUUAUGUUCACUUACUGAGUUUUAUACUCACGUUUUUAAACUUCAUGAUUUCAUAUUCAAAGACAGUUGAGACCUAGAUUGAGUGUCCACAUAUGCUCGUCCUCUUGGUAGAUACUAUGGCAUCUCAGUAGCUGUACCUUCACCCACGGUCACUCCGCUGAUGGUUAAGAGUCUGUUACCUGUGAAUGCGUAUAUGUAAUAUAAUCCUCUAGGAUCCAUGUUAUAAGUCAAAUGUGUAUAUUUGAUUACUGAUGCCACUAUGAGUUGGUAAAUGGGUGACAUUAUUUUAAUAUAAUAAAAUUGUAAGUAUUGGGUCACUAUAAAAUAUUACUGAAAUAUUUUAGUAGAGAAUUACAAUAUGUGGUUUUAGAAAUGAUGGUUGGGAAUGAUGAUCGGGAUUGCAUAAAAAGGCUUGCUAUGCCCCUGGAUUUGGGCUAUGACAAAUACAUUAUGGAUAUUUUAUAUAAUGUGUGAGGUAUUUCUUUAUCCAUGAGUUUAUUUAUAAAGAGUUAUGAGAGACUUAUGUAGAUUAAAUUCUUGGAGCAUAAUGGCCUUGCAAAGAAAUUACAAAGGUUAUAAUUAUAAGAUUCUUAUGCAUCAAAGCCAUGUUCUUAGUAUUCUUUUGUCAAGAAUAAGGGCAUUGACAAUGCUUAAAGACUGUUACAUGCUAAGGCUCCUUACUUUGGAAGUAAACAAUUGAUUUCAUAAGUUGAAGUACGUAAUAUACUUAAGGAUAGUAUGUGGGUGCUUGUUAAGGACCUAGUUCAUUGAGCAUGACCCACUAUGAGAGUUCUAUUUGGUAUUUUACUUAAGUGUCUAUGGAAAUACUCUCUUGUGUCAAUAGUGUAAGUAAUUCUUAGACAUGUAAUACUAGGUCAUCUUAUAUGUGAAUUGUCAUGCUUUGAUUUCACCCUUACAGGUCUAGAGGUAGCCAAAUGCCUAAAUAAGAUACUUUUGGGAAUAGCGUGAAGCAUGCGAAGAUGAAUGAGUAGUCUAGAGAGGAUUCAUCAGCCCAAAUGAUUUAAAAAGGAUAUAUCUCAUUUGCUCUCGGCUUAUAUUAACUGAAAGUCCUUGGCUAAUGCAAUCUUGAUAAGUCAAUAUGGAAGCUACAAGACUAAUGUCGAUAAGUUAAAAAGUAGACACGGAGCCAAACUUUUUAUCUAUCUGAGAUAUAUGAUGAAAGGAUCAAAUUACAUUGAAAUACUGUACACUGAAAGGUUAGUCACACCAUAUUGACUCUCCUGACUUUUGGGUGGCAUGAUGUAUUGCUAGAUGCCACUCAUAAUCUAUAAAUAUAAAUAUAAAUUCUUAAUUGAAUUGAUUUAUAUUUAUAUUUACAUUUAUUGACAACAUGUUGGGGACUUAAUAAGCCACACAAAAUAAAAUGACAAUGUGAAAUUAAAAUGGGACUGGUAUUUAAUUGGAUUAAGAAUUUCCAAUAUCGACUUAAUUAAAUUGUAUAAUUAAGUGGAAGGAUUAAAAUGCAAUAAACCAAAAGUUGGAUCAGCAUUUUAACCAAACUAUAAAUACCUUUUAUAUGUGUGCUGCACUUUGCAAGAAAGUAGAGGAAAAGGACGACAGAAAAAUAAAAGAGAAAAGUCGAAGCCUUAAGUGUCGUUUUCUUAAGAAAAAUUUUUCUUAUCUUCUUUUCAAGGCAAAAACAAAUAAUCUUUGAGAUGUGAGAUUUUCCAAAAAAUCUUCGCUACUAGCAUAACAUCAUGGCACCACAUAAUUCCAACUCAGUGUAGGUUUUCAAUUAACAUUUGUGUGGAUCACCAUUGAAGGCUGGACACAUGGAUAGCUUUGGUUUGCGACAACAAGGUUUUGGUGUACAAUCAAAUAGAGGGAUUUUGACACAUGAUUUUUGAAAAUCACUUCUUGAUGUAUAUGGCUGUACAUAUGUUUGUUUAUAUUUGCUUUUAAUUGAUCAAUAAGGAAACAUAAGUGAUCCAAGGUUGUUUUCGAUUUUGUUGAUUUAUAUUCCACUGCAUUAUAUGAAUGUGACUUCUUCUCUGAGCAUGCCCGAAACCCUUCAUUCUGAGCCCCAUGUCACUAGGGUCGAGUUUUAACCAUUGGGGGUCAACCCCCCAAGUUCAAACUUAGAAAAAUUCAUUUGUUUGGCUUCCUUUUCUAACCAUUUCGUCCUUCAUCAUUCAUCCACAAAUACAACACAAUAAUAUGGAGACAUUUGCAUUAAACAACAAGGAAUUCUCAUAGAUCAUCCUCACCAAUAUAUAAUUCACGAAAGUUCACAUUUUUACCAAAUUUUCACAAUAUGAAAAAUUAGGGUUUUACGAAUAAUAUACUUUGUUGGAAAUAGUUGAAUAAAAUAAUGAUACUUCAUUGCUUUGUGGGACUGAUCCUAAAGUUCAAAGGAUCCAUCCCACAAGGACAAAAAGGUAAUAUUUUUCAAAUGGGAUCAAUCCCAAGGUUUAUGAAAUCAAUCGAUCUUAAAGGAAGGGUGUAAAACAUUUUCCUUGAAUCAUCAGCAACAUUUUUCUAACUCUGUUAUAUAUCUUAUUAUAGUUUAUUUAAAUAAAAAGUUUAUAUUUAAUUCACUAAUAGUGUAUAGUUUCCAUAUGUUGUCUGCUCAACAAAUGCUGCCACCUUAUUACUAAGGUAAAACAAAAGUCUCUAAGAACUUAAACUUAAAUAUUAAAAAGUUUUUAAUAAUUAAUUAAAUAAAAAUAAAAAAACUCUUUUUUUCUCUCUCCAACUCCCUCACAACUGAUAACUCUAUUAUAUAGAGUUAUUCUAACACAUUUUGAAGGCUUAAGUAGCUAGAUUUUUGAGAUUUUAAGUUCAAAUUUUAGCAUUUAAGUGUUUUUCUAGUUUAAGUUAGAUUAUAUGUUGAGUAGUUAAUUUCAGUUAUUUUAGUUCAAUUUUACUUUAUUUUGUUUUAAUUUACUUUAAGAAGAGUUGUUGUCAAUUUCUCUCAUGGUUUUUUUACGGGAUAUUUGAUGAGUAAGGUACAUUUGAGUUAAAAUCGCACAAGUAUGGUAAAAGUUUCAUUCGUACAUGUGGUAAUUUUCUGAAGAUAACUUGAGCUACAGAGUCCAAGAUGUGAUUCUUGAUACAUUGCUAAGAUAAGAGAAUGGGCUACAACUUUCAUGUUUACCAUUUCAUCCAGUUCGGAUCUGAUCAAGGUGAAAAUUGAGUUGGAAGAUAAUGCAUAGUUGCAAUUUUGUAUAACGUGUUAAUUGGAGACCAUAGCUUUGAGUUAUUCAUGGUCGCGACGUUGGAGGAGCUAGGGCCACAGCAUUGGGAAGAUCGUGGCUGUAAUGCUGGACAAUUCAAGUGCAUUAAACUUGGCCUGAGGCCAAAAAGCCCUGACGCUGAAAAAGUAGCGCCACACUUGCGCAUUGCUAAGAAGUCAUGGCCGUGGCCCCACACUGGUUUCCAAAAAAAAAUGUUUAACGGUAAUUUGGAAAUUAGGGCACCUUGCUUAUAUUUAAGGGACUUUUUCAGAGGAGAGAAGUGGGUAGCAGCUAUUCUGAAGAUGUAGAGCCAAGAAUAAAGCAAGAAAGCAAGAGAAUUUGAGAAAGACUCAAAAUCAAAAGCUUCAAUUAUUAGUUACUUUUUCUAUUUUUGUUUUUCUCUUAUUUUCUUUGACUUGGAUUGUAACAUCUCGUACUUUGAUAUGUUGACUAAUAGAACUUAUCGGAUAUCAAUUGAGGUUAAUUAGAGUAUUUAAAAGUGAUGAAGGGUGAAGGGAAUAUUUUAGAGUAAAAUAUUCCGCAUGCGAAGCAAUAAUAAUAUUUUUUUUAUUUAUUGAGGAUGAAUAAACGAUAUAAAAAGUGAUUCGGAAGUGAAUCGGGGUAUAAUAAGACAUUUUGGGUGCUAAGGAGACAAGUGAAAAAUUUUAGAAUAAAAUAACUUUUUAUUAAUAAAAUAUUAUUAAAAUAUUAAUAUUUAAUUCAGUGUCAAAAUUUUCCAUGAAGAAGGAGUAUAUGGUCAAUUUAAGUGGGAAAGAAGAAGAACGAGGAAAUUUCAGAGAAAAAUGAAUUUAAUGGGGCCCGUGUGUUUUUAUUAAAUAAAGCUAGCGUGAGUAAGUCAAUAUUAAAAUAUUACAGUGAUACAACGUUGAAGCAUAAACUUGAUAUUUUAUUGAUACAAGUGUUAAGGAAGAAAAAUGGAAAGAAAUUGGAAUUAAAAGAUUGUGGGAGGAUACAAUUAAAAAAGGUGAAAACCUUAAAGGGUAAAAUGGUAAUUUUGCCAUUAAUUUGGUCAAAGCUUCCUAAGAAAGCUUUGACUCUUCAUUCUUAUCCCAUGGCUGGUUCUUAUCUCUAGCCAAAAGAUAUUUUCUUCCUCACCUUCAUGCUCCCAUGCCAUUUUCACCUUGCCACCAUGUAUUUGAAAAGAAAAAUGGCUUUGUCUUGCAAGGAAAACCGUACUCUUGGAAAGAAAAUAGAUGAGAUCAGUUGGAAGGAAGGAGAAAGGAAAGAAAGAAAGGAGAAAGGAAAGAAAGAAAGGAAGAUAAAGCUUGGUUUUGGUGAUUCAAGCAAGAUAAGGUAAGGAUUAUUGUUUUUAGCUUGAGUAAUCUUUGAAAAUGAGUUAGUGACUAAGAGAAGUGUCUUGUGGCAGCAAAGAUUGGCUUGACUGGAGAAAAAUUGGUGACAUACAAGCCAAAAAACCCGUGGGUACAUGAUGGACUCAAAGUGGAAAAGGAAAGCUGUAAGCUUAACACUAUGUUUUAAAGCCUACGGUUAGUUGAAUAUUGUGAGGAAAUAAUUGUGCAAGUGUGGGUAGCAUAUGAAUGUAAAUUAUGGUGCAUGUAAGUUUAGGAAAUGCUUGAUGAAAUUAGAUUUAUAAUUGCUGCCACAUGCAAGGUUAUUGGUGUGAGACCUCAACCUUUAUAGGCUUGUAACUAGGCAUAAACGCCAUAACACGGGCUAGGGGUAGUUUCGUCAUUUCCUCUAAUAAGCUCUCAGAAGAAAUUUUUAUUAUAUUUUAAAGUCUAAAUAGGCAUAAGACUGCAUAAAUGAUGUGUAAUGAUGAAAACACAAAGAAAAUUAGAAGUUUCAAUAAUUUUUACAACAGGGGCAGAAUGGUCAUUUUUCACCUCGGGUAAAAAUUUUUAAGUGUUCAUGAACCCGAGCAUUUCUAGACCAUUAUGGACCUUGUCCCAGUGUCAAAAGAGUACAAGAUUGCAUAAAGGAUUGGAAGAGAACAAGCUAAUUUGUGGAGGGGCAUUUUCAUAAUUUUAAGUAGAAUGGAUAAGCUUGAGCUAUAAAUAUCUUUUUCUUUCAGCAGCUUCUUCAUUCUCCAGCAACUUCUUCUCCUUCUUCUUUUUCCAUCUCACGUUGCUUCCAUCUUCCAUGGAGGCUUGAUAUGAAACUUUCAUAACUUUCUCUCUCUAACUCUAAUUUUCAUACCUUUGUGCCCUUUUGACUAGAACCCUUGUGAUCUUUCACUUUUUCACUUUAAAACCCUUGAAAAAUCCCACUUCCAUACUUUCUCUCACUAGCUAGGUGUUUAGAGAGAGAAUGAGAAAGAAAGCCCUUAUAAUAGCUUGGAAAACUAUUGGAAAGAAUUUCAAAAUUUCAAGGUAAGCAGUAAAUUAAAGUUGAUUUUAAAUGUUGAGAGUGGCUAAUGAUUAGGCUUGUGAAUGUUUUAUAGUAGGAUGUUUAUUCAUUUUAGAGUGGUUAAGGUAGUGAAUAUAGAUAGCCAUUUAAAUGGCUAUUGGAAGCUAGCUAAGAAAUAGCUUUUAGAAUCUUAAGUAUGUGAAUUGACAUAAUGGUGAUGCUAAUGUAAUGGUAGGUUCCAACAAAGCUCUAUUGCCCCAUUUGGACCAUUGGGGAAGUUAGAGUCGAUUAAAGGCCUAAAAACAUAUCGGUGAGUGGACUUGCAUUUCAAAAUUUGUUUUGGGAAUGUGAAUGCAACUGUUCAAACAUUUGAAAGAUUUUAUCUAGUUUUCUUUUGAAAAUGUACCUUGGGAAUAAGCCUUUGGUGAAGUGAUUUAAUAUUGUGAAAAUGUGCUAUACAAUGGUUUAUGUGUUAUCACAAUAUGAUAAUAUGCAUGAUAUGCAUUGGGUGCUUCUUUGUAUGUUGAUGUGGACCAGGCUAUGUGCGAGUAGGAGUGUACAUAAAUCGAUGAUGACCCAGCUAUGUGCGAGUAGGAGUGCGCAUAAGCCAAUGAUGACCAGGCUAUGUGCGAGUGGGAGUGCACAUAAGUCGAUGAUGACCCAGCCAUGUGUUAGUGGGGAGUGCACAUGAGUUGAUGACGAUGGGAGAGUGUGCAUGAUGAUGAAUAUAUAUAUAUAUAUAUAUAUAUAUAUAUAUAUAUAUAUAGUAUNNNNNNNNNNNNNNNNNNNNNNNNNNNNNNNNNNNNNNNNNNNNNNNNNNNNNAUAUAUAUAUAUAUAUAUAUAUAUAUAUAUAUAUACAUGUAUAGAUACGUGUGUUAUAGAAAGUUCAUGAAUAUGAAAAUUGUUGAAAUGCAUGUGAAAUUUGACAUGUUAAACUUUGGGAAAUUAUAUGAGUUUCAUGUUGUGUUGGUCAUGUGAACAGGGUGGCUUUUGUUUGAGGGAAUGGGAAAUUUUUGCUGGUGCCCUGUUUCUCGUUGCAGCAAGAAACUCUCAGGUUGGAGGGGUAAGACUAGCCGAAAAUCUCGCUACAGCAAGAAUGUAUUCUCGUUGCAGUGAGAAUGUUACUAUAGCUUCUCGCUAUAGCGAGAACCUUUCUGUUUUAUGACCAAAAAUUUUGCUCAAUCUCGCUGCAGCGAAAAACUUUCUGUUUUGCUCCUCAUUUGGUUCGGUUGCUACCCUAUUUUCCAUUUCUUUGGUACCAUAGUUGAGCAUGGACUUCCAACAUUAAGGAAUAAAUGAAUUAAGUUUAGAAAUGAGGAGGUUUGGUGAGAAACCCUUGACCAGUUAAGAAACCCUUUGCUAGAUUAUAAUUUAAGUCAAGUGUCACUGCAGCGGAAAGGCAUUCUCGCUGCAGCGUACUCGUCGUUUAUUUGACUUGAUUCGCAUGAAUGCUAUUAAAGUUUUCACUCUCCAAAUCCUUUGUUAAGCAUGGACCCUUUUCAUAAAGUGAUUUACUCAUGUGGGGUUUACAUGAGGGGUUUAAUAAGAACUAAAAUAAAUUGCGUUAUUUUGAAAAAUGAAUGCAUCAUGAUUUUGUUAAACAUUCCUUAUGGUAUGCUUGUUCCCUUCUUGUUCACUCACUGGGUUUAUACUCACCAUUUUCAAGUUCAUGUUCUCAGAUCAUGAAGUAGCUGGUAACUAGGUCGAGGUGUCUUCAUAUAUUCGACCCUUGGUAGGUGUUUUGGCAUUCAGCAGCUGUACAUUCGUCCGAGUCUCUCCUCUAGAAGUCAAGUACUCUUUCGUUGUGUAUAGACAAACCGAUGUAAAUUAUUAAAUUAUAUGUUUAGACCAUAUAUGUACACUUUGAUUGGUAUGCCACUAUGGGUUGGCAAAUGUUGGGUAUUAUUUUGAUCCAAAGUUAUAAAAUGUGACUUAGCAACUUUUGAUGGAAGGGUGAACAGUUCAUAGUAAUAGGCUUGCUUGGGCUCAGUGGGCUACGUCCAUUGGGCCCAUCGUCGAUCAUGGCUCGAAUUUUGGGUUGUGACAAUUGGUGUAAAAUUGAUAGUUAAACUUGAUAGAUACCAUUGGAAAGGAUUAAUAUGUGUGCUAACGUUAUAAACAAGUUACCGGUACUUAUAAUCUAAAGAAUUACGCAAACAAAGGAUAUGAAGAACCUUAGUAAAAAUGUGUCAAGAUGCAAGUUAGUAGAAUGAUGAUUCAUGAUUGAAUGAGAAAGAGAAGUUGAAAUGAUAUACACUAAAUGCAUUGAGUUUAAUUUGUUGCUAGGAAAGUUUGCCGUGGUGGCAUACCAGGCGAGGUAACGAGUGACUGGCAAGUAGAAAUAGCGAGAUACGCACCCGAAUCAAUAGCAACGAAGCGUCUCGCUAUUGUAAAGUGAGUGGGGGGUGCCUAUUUCAAAAUUUCCAUAGCUAUAUUGUGUUAUACGUUGCAUAAACGUUGCCAGAUUUCAUUAAAUGCAAUUAUGGAAAGCAUGAGCUAUUAGCCCCGAUAGGCGAUUUCUAAAUGGAUUUAUAAUGAUUUAUACACUAUUAUUGUGGAAAGCAUGGGCUGGUAGAACUCGUAGGAAAUUGUGGAUGCAAGUUGUUUUGAAAAUUGUUUUGGAUAUAUCUAUAGAUGAGCUAUAUAUGUAAAGUGUUUUAGAAACUGGGAAACCAGCCUUUUAUACUGUUUUGCAUUCAAAAUCUGUGCCUUGAAUUUUUGUGUGAUAUGCAUAGUUUAAAUGCAAUUGUUAAAUGAUUUAAAAUGCAAGUUUGGAGCACCAAUUUUAGUUCGAUCUUUGUAUAAGAGAAUACACCAUGCCUUUUUAGGUGAAAAGAAAUUUGAAAGGUUAUUGAACCUUGUUUUCAAAUAGUUUAAAGCAAAAGACUUGGAAACCUCGAUUUGAUCUUUUGAAAAUGGUUUUGACAAACCAAGUGCUUCGAGAGUAGGCUGACUGUCACUUCGGUUAAGUGUGACCCUCGUGCAUGAGUGAGAUCUAGCUAGAGAACCUUUAAGUCACCGACAGGCGGUUAGGCAUGGCGAGGGCCACGACCUAUGAUAUGUCUACUUGGCUAGGCCACAAGUGAUCCGGUAGAGUGAGACUCCCGGAUGUGAGUGGUAGCGACCGCUUGAUUCUUCGAUGUCGGCCAACAUUGUGGAGACUGCCAUGGCUAUGGGAAUCCGGUGGAGUAAGACUCCCGAAUUGUUAUUACAUGGAAGUGGGUCCACGUGUUGAUAUUAUACUUUCCUACUCGAGAGCCUUAUGAGUUUUCAAUGCGUGCUCUCUUGCAUGGUAGAGAGUUGAGAUUUUCUCUACAGCUCCCAUUGUUUAAAUAAAAGCUUUCAGUGCUUACUUGACAAACAUGAGUUGAUUUAGGUGGUUGUACACUUUGAUUUCUUUACAUGCCACACAUUUUGGGAGCAUGCUUACCUUUAUACUGUAUUUCAUAUUUUGAUCGCGAUGAUGUUUUCGGUGAUUGAAACUCUUUCUGAAACACUUAUAUUCGGCACUAUUUUGCGAAAGAAAGCAUUGUAUUAUGAUUUUACGAUAUUAUUUUAUAAGGCAUAAAUAUCCUCGCAGUUUGGUUUAUAAGAUUUGCAUUUUAUAUUAUGGUUUUAUCAUUCAAAUGAUCUGCUUAUUGCUUGUUUCCUAUUUUCUCCCUACUCACGGAGCCGAUGAUCACUAAGUUUGUAAGACUCACCCCCUUAUUUCCCUUUUUUCAGAUAGUGAUCGGCGUAGCGUGCAAUCAUCAGCAUUUAUGGUUCAUCGUAGAUAAGUAAAGGCAUCUCCUAGCAUUUCAUUCCAAGUCACUUCACUGCUAUAGGUCAAGUCGUAGCACUUUGUUUAUUUAAUUGUAAAUGGAUAGUGGCCUUGGUACAAGUAUUAAACUGGAGACUUUAGACCUCAUUGUAUAUGCUUAUGAUUAUAUGUUUUAAAGAUCGAAUUGAUUAUUAUAUUUAUGGUUCAAGUUAUGAUAUGAAAGAAUAUGGUUUAAGCACUAAUAUGGAAUGGUGAUCGUAUAAGUGAGCUAAUGGGUAUUUCUAGUAAAGCUUGUUCGAGAUUUGAUAGGUUUACCCGCAAUUCUCGAACACCGAUAAUGAUCGAAGAGCAGUCGUUACAUGGAUUUAUGGCUAAAUUUCAUUGGAUGAUGUUUUAUUUGAAUAUUAUAAGCUAAAUUAUUUUUCUAGGAUUAUGGUGGAUUUUAACAUGUAGUCUGAAUAUUUGUUUCUUUUUUAUUUAUCACGAAUGGGUAUUGUUUUACUUAUUCAAAUCUAUUCUUAAUGCUUUUAAUUGCCUGAUCAACAAUUAAUUAAUUUAUAAAUCUAAUUGAAACUCGACAGAGAAAUUUUAGGUUGGACUAAGAUUUGAAUAGUGUAUGUUCACAUCACUUAGUUUAUCUAAUUCACGAUUCGAGUAAACUUACACCAAUUACCAUACAUAGUCAAAUUAGAACACUAACUUAAUGAACUUAAUUUAAUUGAUUCCUAUAGACAUAAAGUGAACUAAUUAAUGUGAGCAUCUUCAUGAAGACUUGUAUAUAGUUUUGGAUCCUAGGUUAGUAAAAACACCCAAGAAGAUAAAUAAUAAAAGAAGCUGGCAUUGUAACGACCGCCCCUCGAUCGCUAUCGGCAUCCGAGUCUUGUGAGGGAACCUGCCAAGUCUCGAACAAGCCUUAUUCGAAACCUUUGUUGUAACAAUGAACUCAUUCCAACGAUAUCUAUAAUUACUUGAGCCAUAUAUCUUUUUUGUUACAUAAUUUGAACAAUAGCCAUAAUAAAUCAAGUUAACCUUUAUUCCACAUAAUUGUAAAAGUACAUCAAGUUCUUUAAUAUCCAACCAUACAUUUACGUUAACACUAUUUACAAUCAAAUUAGGCUACGAAUGACUCGACCUCUAGCAGCGGAGUGACUCAGAAUAAAAUGCUAUGAGAUGUCGUUACCUAUCCGUAGUGGACCAUAAGUGUCGAUGAUUGCACGAUAGGCCGAUCACUAUCUGCAAAAAGGAAAAUAAGGAGGUGAGUCUCACAGAUUCAAUGAUCAUCGGCUCCGUGAGCAGGGCGUAGAUGGGAAACAAGCAUAAAACAGAUAAGUUUGAACAUUAAAAACAUAUGAAUAUGUAUAAACAAUUUAAAAUCAAAUGGGGUAUUUAUGCCUUACAAUUAAAUCCAAAAGUGUUGAUGCAAAUAAUCAUUUCAAGUAAUGUAUUAAAACGAGUGUAAGAAAAACAUUUCUACCGUCGAAAUCAUUUAACAUCUUUACUCACAUCAAAUCAGUAUAAUCACGCACUCUCCUAUGAAAUCAAAUAUUAUCAAAGCUUUACACAAAUUCGCAAAUCGCCUCAUAUGCUAGGAGUUAAAUCCAACAUCAUAGUAUAAAUAAGGGAGCUAUAGAAAAUCUUAUAGUUCUCACCAUGCGAAAGAAUACAAGUUUAAAAACCCAAAGAGAUGCCACUCUCGAGUAGGUAAUCGUAAAAAAUAACUCGUGGACCCACUUCCACAUAAUAACAUUCGAAAGCUCUACUCCACCGAAUUCCAUAGCCAUGUUAGUGUCGACGAUGUUAGUUGACAUCGGAGAAAUCAAGUGGUCGCAACCGCGUAUAUCACUAGUGGCCUAACCACGUAUAUCAUCCGCUGGCUUUGCCACGUAUAAUCAUAGACCGUGACCCCAGCCACGUUUAACAGCCCAUCGGUGACCCAAAGGUUCUCUAGCUAGAGCUCACUUGUGCACAAGGGUCACACUAUCUUGAUGUGACAUUCAGCCUACUCUUGAAUCUCUCAAUUUGAUAAAACCAUUUAAAAAUCAAGUUAGGUUCUCAAAAGCUUAUUUAAAAUCCAUUUCAAAAGUACUAGCCAUGGUAACACGAUAAAACCUUUUUUUUCGUAAGACUUUUGCAUUGUGAAACCUUUGCAUGAGCUUUAGAUGUCAUUAGCAUGGUGAUUGUAAGAUUCAUUCAUGAAUGCACAUCACACAAUCAACAAAGCACAUUUUGAUAUAAAUCGUAGUAAAACACUUGUUUCCCUAUUUCAAAACCCUUUUUGUAUGUAGUUAAUAUAUAUACAUACAAAACCUUUCUUAAAGAAUUGGCAAUCACAAGCCUAUCAUUCUACCAACUCAAUGUGAGACCUCAACCUCUAUAGGCUUGUAACUAGGCAUAGACACAAUAACACAAGCUAGGGGUAGUUUCGUCAUUUUCUCUAAUAAGCUCCUAGAAGAAACUUUUAUGAUAUUUUAAGGUCUAAAUAGGCAUAAGACCACAUAAAUGAUGUGUAAUGAUGAAAACACAAAGAAAACUAAAAAUGAUAAUAAUUUUCACAAUAGGGGCAAAAUGGUCAUUUUGCACCUCGAGUCAAAACUUUUGAAAGUUUCGCAAACCCGAGCAUGUCUAGACCAUUAUGGACUUGGUCUCAGUGUUAAAAGAGUAAAAAGAUUGCACAAAGGGUUGCAUGAGAACAAGCUAACUAGUCAAGGGCAUUUUCGUAAUUUUAAGGGAAUGGAUAAAUUUGAGCUAUAAAUAUCUUCUCCUUCCAGCAGCUUUUUCUUCUUCUUCUCCUCUUAAUUCACGUUAUUUCCAACCUCCAUGGAAGCUUGAUAUGGAGCUUGCAUAAUUUUCUCUCUCUAACUUUAAUUUUCAUACCUUUGUGCCCUUUUGACUAGAAUCCUUGUAUUCUUUCACUCUCUCACUUCAAAACCCUUGAUAAAUCUUAUUUCCAUACUUUCUCUCACUAGUUGGGCAUUUUAGAGAGAGAAAGAGAGAAUUACCCCAUUUGUUUGGAAGCUAUUGGAAAAGAAUUCAACCAUAUAGAAACCCUAGGGUGAGUGAUGAACUAAGCUUGGUUUUUUAACUGUGGAUAAUAACUAGUAAUUGGGAUUAUAAGCUAUUUUAUUGUUAAGGAUGUUCAUUCAUUUUAUAGUGAUUAAGAUAGUGAACAUACAUAGCCAUUUAAAGUAGCAAUUGAAAGCUUGCUAAGGGAUAGCUUUUAGAGUUUAUAAGUAUGAAUUGACAUUAAGGUAAUGUUAAUUUGAUGGCAGGUUCUAACAAAGCCCCAUCACCCCAAUUGGAUCAUUAAGGGAAUUAGAGUCAGCUAAAGGCUCAACAAUAUACCGGUGAGUGAAUUGCCUUCAAAACUUGUUUUAGGAAUAUAAUGUAUUUGCCACACAUUUGAAAGAAUUAUCAAGUUUUUCAUAAAAACAAGUGCCUUGGGAACAAGCUUUUGCUAAAUGGUUUUAUGUUGUGAUAUGCGAUUGCUAUGGAUUCAUGCACUAUUGCAUUAUGAUGAUAUAUAUAUAUGUGUGUUGUGCAUGAUGAUUGAUAUUGUGUAUGAUGAUUGUAACCAUGUGUGUGCACAAUGUGGGGGAUGCACAUGCCGGUGAUGAUGGUGGCGUGAGAGAUGGAUGAUGAUAGUUCUCGUGUGCACGAUGUGGGGGGAUGUACACAAUAGCACUGAUUGUGCACGAUGUGAGGGGAUGCACGCGAUGGCGUCGGCUAUGUGCACGAUGUGGGGGGAUGUACAUGAGCCGGGUGUGAUUAUGAUGAUAUUGAUGUUUAUCUAUGUAAUUAUGCAUAUCUAUACUUAUGAAAUGAAAGCUCAUGAAUAUGAUAUAUGUUUGACAUAUAUGUGAAAUUUGAUACAUUGCACUUUGAGAAUUUUCAUGUGUUUUAUGUUGAUUUUGUUGGUUUAGCAGGAUGGCCUUUUAUUGAGUGAAGGGAAACCUUUUUUCUUGGUGCUCUGUUUCUCGCUGCAGCGAGAUUCAUUUUCGUUGCAGCGAGAAAGGUAUUGUAGCUUCUCGCUGCAAUGAGAAACUUUCUGUUUUGUGACCAAAAUUUCACUGUAGCGAGAUUGAAUCUCGCUGCAGUGAAAAACUUUCUGUUUUGCUCCUUCUUUGGUUCGGUUGCUACCUCGUUUUCCACUUUUUUGAUACCAUAGUUGAGCAUGGACCUCCAACAUUACGGAAUCAAUGAUUUAAGUUUAAAAUGAGGAGGUUUGGUGAGAAACCCUUGUUCGCCUAAUAACUUAAAUCCCAAAGUCGCUGCAGCGGGAAGGCAUUCUCGUUGCAGCUAAGAUUCGUUGUUGCAUUUGACUUGUUUGUGUAUCACUGAAGCCUUCAUUUUUUCAAAUUAUUUGUUAUGUAUGGGUUCAUCAUUACCAAGUGAUUAAUCAUUUAAGGGUUUAAUGAGGGGUUUUUAAUAUGAAUGAAAUUAAAUUGCAUUGUUUUAAAACAACUGCAUCAUGAUUUUAAAUUCUUUCUUAUUGUUGCUUGUUCCCUUCCUUGUUCACUCACUAAGUUUAUACUCACCGUUUUCAACUUCAUGUUUUCAGAUCACGAGGCAGUUGGUAACUAGGUCGAGGUGCCCUUGUAGACUCGACUAUUGAUAGGUGUCUCGGCAUUCAGUAGCUGUACAUUAGUUCGAGUCUCUUCGCUGGAAAUCGAGUCUUUUUUUGAGAUGUAUAGACAAACUUGAUGUAAAUUAUUAAGAUACAUGUUGUAGGCAAUGUACACUUGAUUGGUAUGCCAAUAUGAGUUUGCAUUGUUUAGUAUUAUUUUGAUUCAAAGUUAUGAAAUGAGACUUAGCAGCUUUUGGUAGAAUGAUGAACAUGUCAGAUUAAUAGGCUUGCUGGGCUAAGUGGACUAUGUCCAAUGGGCCCAUGAGUCGAUCAUGGCCCGAAAUUUGGGUCGUGACACUCCAACUGUCCACAAAUUUGCAUUUUAAGUAAACCAACACGUAUAAAUAUAUAUAUAUAUAUAGUUAUGGGAAUUUUAAAAUAGACACCCUCUACUCACCUUACAAUAGCGGGACACUAUGUCGUUAUUGAUUCGAGUGCAUAUCUAACUAAUUCUACUUGUCGGUCCACGUUACCUCCUCUGGCAUGCCACCACAGCACAUUUCAUUUACUUAUACACUUCCUAUCAACCAUUCAAACCCAAUAUACUUAAUUAUUCACAUGCAUGGUAGCACAUCAAGUAAUAAAUCCUUAACCUAAUUUCAUAGUUUUCAUCAACCUUACUCACAAUCAUUUAACACGCAAUCCACAUAUUAUCAAUUAACCAAAGCCAACACGCACAAUAUAGUCAAUUUGCAUGCUUACCUCUCGAUUUUAGCUUACAUUCCACAUAUCAUUCACAACUUCCUCACAUCUUCGAUCACUAUUGCUGCCACAAACAUAAACAAUCAAUAUACAUCUCAUUUUUCCUUUCUACUUAUGAUUUCAAGACUAAAACACUUACCCAUUGCUUAUUUAGCUCCAAAAUCACCAUUCAUUCCAAGAUCUACCUACAUGCAUGUCUCAGGUUCUUUGAAUCCUUGAAGGUUCUGACUACAACAAGCAAAAUCUCACAUUACAAUUAAUUUACAAAGCAUGCAUUUUGUGACAUCCUCCUCGGGGCCCACCCAUGUGGCCUCCCCAUCUAGGGCCCACUCCAAGGUAUUGUUCGGUCUCCCGUUCCCUGCGGUAUGUCCCAGCUGCAGCUGCGUACCCAGGAUUCGAACCCGAGGCCUUUUGUUUCCCCCAAAGGGAACGCUUUUAACCAUUUCGGCUGCUGAAAUGGUUAAAGGUGUUCCCUUCGAGGGAAACAAAAGGCCUCGGGUUCGAAUCCUGGGUACGCAGCUGCAGCUGGGACGUACCGCAGGGAACGAGAGAUCGAACAAUACCUUGGAGUGGACCCCGGAUGGGGAGGCCACAUGGGUGGGCCCCGAGGGGGAUGUCCCAAAAAAGUGCCUUUUUACAACUGAAAUGGUUAAAGGCGUUCCCUUCGGGGGAAACAAAAGGUCUUGAGUUCGAAUCUUGGGUAAGUAGCUGCAGCUGGGACGUAUCGCAGGGAACGGGAGACGGAACAAUACCUUGGAGUGGGCCCCGGAUGGAGAGGCCACAUGGGUGGGCCCCGAGGGGGAUGUCACACAUUUCAAACAAAAAUGGUAAUUUUUUUACCUUUCCUUGUCUCGAGUUCACUAGGCUAAACGCUUCUUUCUCUUUUCUUCUUCCUCCUUUCUUCUUUUCUUUCUUUCUCUUUUCUUCUUUCUUUCAAACCAAUUCUCUUUUCUCCUUUCUUAACUCUUCCUCUCCUUUUGGGGGAAGGCUUCACAAAGCCCUCUCCCAUCCAUUUUCCUUCCAAAUGGGCAGAUCUCUCAUGAACUCACUUGUUUCUUCACAUUUUCUUCCAAAGGUCGAACCUCCACUUUGCAUGUUUCUUUUCUUCUCUUUUUGUUUUAUGAUGGGCGGACCUCUCAAGGCAAAAGCCUUGAAAAUGGCUUUCAUUUUCUCAUUUUGCCCACACAUGGGCGGAUUGCCCAAAGUCACAUCUUUUUUUCUUUAUUUUCUUUUCUUUUCUUUUCUUUUUCUUCUCCCAUGGGUAGAUUACCCAAGGCUUGACUAUUUUGGCAUUUUCCUUUUUCUUUUAGGUGGUUAAAAUCACAAGCCAAGAGAAAAGCUUUUAAAACCUUUCCAUCCACUACCUUCAUUUUCCAUUCUUUCUUCAUUUGCAUUUCAUUUCACAUGUAUUUCAUCUCCUUUAAUUUCUACUUAGCAUUCCUUCAUUCGGCCACUUAUCACCCAAUAUUGUUUCAUGCACAUUUCCUUUACCAAUAGCCUUUGCCAUCCCAUAAACCAAUAAGGCUUCAUGCAUUUUUCCAUUCUUGAUUCCUAUUUAACCACCCUCAAAACCAAUAAGAUUUCAUGCAACUAAAUUAUUCUUUCUUUUUCUUACCAAAUCACAUUGUCAACCUUACUUUGUUUACCAUGGGUUAUCUUUGCCAAACCAUGGUUUUCCUUCACUUAAAUACUCUUUAUUCUUUUUCUCCUUAUCAACUUUUGCAUGGAGGGGUCCCUCAUGUUUCCCACUAACUUCUUACUUUUUGCAUGCAAUGAUUUGCACGUAAUAGUAAAUUGACAUGUACAUCUCUUAUCCCACAUAACCUAACUUUCCUUAGUUAGUAAAUGCCCAUUUAACUUCAAAUAUUGAAAUUGCACAAAGUCUUCAAACUUUUCCUUAUUUACCAUUCGACCCUCAAAGCUUUCAUCCUUUACAAUUUGGUCUUUUCAACGUUUAUUUAAUUCUAAUUUCCUUCUAUCUUCCUUCCUUUACACUUGUACAAAUAGGAUAUAAAAUUUGCACUUCACCAAGGUAUCAUCAUAAUAUUUAAAUAUAUACUUACCCGCUCUAGCUCUAUUUAAUAAAGGCACGCGGGCCCCCACUAACGUCGUUUUUCUUCAAAAUAUUUCUUACUUCCACUCUCCCACUUAGACAAAUUAUAAAAAUCACACUUCCUUCGUGUAAUAUAUCCAAUUUGACGUCAGUAUUAUUUUAAUAUUAUUUUAUCCAAUAAUUAUUAGUUUAUUUCAAAAUUUUCCUCCAGCUUUCUGGAGCUACAAAAUACCUUACUUUGCCCCGGUUCACUUCCGAAUCACCUUUUAACUCACUAAUUCAUCCUUGAUAAAAAUAUUAUUACUUAAUUACUAUUUUCUCACAUGUAAAAUAUUUUAUUUCAAAAUACUCCUUUCACUUGUCACCGCUCUUUGGCACUUAAAUUUAGGUCAAUUGAUCCUUUGUCUCAUCGAUAGGGUCUUAUUGGCUUCUAUACAAAGGUACGGGGUGUUACAGAUAUUAGAUAAAAUGUUGAAUGAACCCAUAACCUAGGUCUUUCGUCUAUUGUCUUUCUUGAUUAUAUUUAAUUACUACUAGUUAUUUUAGUAUUUAUUUUAAUUUUUUUAUUAGUUAGUUUUUCUUUAAUUUUCAAUUACUUAAAUAAGAUUAAUUUGUUAUAAAAUUUUAGUACUUAGUGAGAAUUUGAAAACAAAUCCCUGUGGGAACGAUACUCUACUUCUAUUAUGUUACUUGUUUGCGAUCACGUGCACUUGCGUGAAAAUUCGACAAUGAGUUUUUUGGCAUCGUUGCUCGGAAUUUUGUUUUUUUAUUAUUGGCUAAUAUUAAAUUUCCAUAGAUUAGUCUUAAUUUAAGUUUUAUUACUUUGUUUUGCAGGUGUGUUUAGUCGUUGUAUGAGAAGAGCAAAAAGCUUAGAGAUUGCACCUUGUGAUCCAAUAAUUGAGAGAACAUUCUGAAGACUUCGACAAGAAAAUCAAUAAGGUUUUGCUCCGAUAAAUACAAUUGCUGAUCAACAGGGUGAAUGUUGCUAGCUUUACACACACACACAAGCGCACGUAUCGCACAAGUAAUAUAAUAGUAAAAAAAGUGUCAUCUCCAUAGAAAGUUGGUUAUAAUCUUUCACCAAGUACUAAAAUUAUAACAAGCUAAGUUUUAUCCAAGAAAUAAGAAAAAACAAGUUGUUGAAGUGAAAUGAAAUUUGAUCUAAAAAUCUAAAUAAAUUUAAGAAUUGCAAACUAAGAUUAUAGUGAGGAAACAAUGUAAUUAAAGCCUAGUACUAUGAUUUCAGCUAUUGCUUUGUUGGGAUACAAGAUCAAUUAACUACCUACUUUUUAUGGGGAUCAAUGUUAGUCUAGGGUACUUAAGCAUGCAUAAUACUUCGUCGAGUCAUCACACAAUUUCCUAGCUUUAUUAACUAUCUAUAUGCUAUAGAAAAUUAAUUAAAGCUAAGUUAAUUAAGUUUAGGUCCUAUAUUUGACUAUGUAUGAUUAAUAGGUAUAUGUCUAUUCUAUUAAUUAAUCACCCACUUAAUUUCUUAACAUGGAAUGUACACUACUCAAAUUUAGGUCUAUUUAAACUAUCUUUGUCAAGCAUCAUCUAAAACCCCAUACUCAACUUAUUGGUGAUCAAGCAACCAAUGAGGCAAUAAGCACAUAUUUGAAUAAACAUUGAUAUUCCCUUAAAAAGUAAGUAAAAAUCAAUCCAAAAUAUCCAAACUACACAACAACAUCUACCAUAACCCUAGAUUAAGAGCUUUAACUCAACAUAUUCAAAAUACAAACACAAAUCUCAACAAAAUGAAGCAUUUCUACAAAAAGAGUUAGAGAGAGAAAAUCUAAUCUAGAGUGGGAAAUUUUUUGAAGUAGCUUUUUUAUCCUUCAAUUUCUUCAAUUUCUCUUCUUUUUCCCUCUUGGUUCCAACCUUUUUUCGCUCAAAUUACUGUCUAAACCCCCACUUUAUUUUUAGCCCUAAAAAGAUUGUAUUUAUACCCUUUUUAUUGGCCAUUUGAUGUCAAAUCAGAUGGCCAAUAAUGUGCAGAGUCAUGUUUUAGUGCCUAGGCACCCAAGCACUGGCGCCUAGCCUUUUUAAGGUGUUGGGCAAUGCAUUCAAUGCCUAGGUGCCCAAGCUGCUGGCCACACAGCAUGCAAUCUAUUAGAGUCAAUUGAUUUUCUUUACACUUUUUACCAUGAUCCUUUUUGAACUAGGUAAAGUUUUGAACAUUAAAGUUAUAGGUCCUCCUCUUAUCUUUUUGCAAGUCUAAGAAUUGUGUCAAUCAGAGUUUUGUAGCUCAAGAUAUGGUUCGAUUAUCAUAGCAUUGUCUAAGGUCACCUUAAGCAAAAGUGCAUGAUCCUUUGUAAAAUUGACUUCCAAUCAAUAAAAGGUAAAAAAAAGACUUAAUAACAUGGAAAUAAACUCAAAUUACUUAAACUACCAAGGCAUGCAUAAAGUAAAUACCAAACAAAUAUAUAAACAAGGUCUAAAUUAAUUAAAAACAAGAGGACAUUAGUCAUUUUUAGGCUCUAAAGAAUGUAAGAUAACUUUAUAAAAUAGAGUUAUCAGUGAAUAGCAAAUCCAAGAGCACGUAGUAGCUAAAAAUCAUUGCUUAAGGGAUUAUGCUAUCCUAUUAGUGUAAGGGAUUCCAUCAAGCAUUCGAAGGCCAGCUAUUCAAGCAAAUAAUUUUGAGAUCAAGUCAGCCAUCAUCACCAUGAUUCAAACUUCAAUCCAAUUUCGGCUCUACCAAAUGAUGAUCCAAAUAGCCAUAUAUCAAACUUCUUGGAGAUUUCUGAUAUGUUCAAACAUAAUGGUGUCAUAGUUGAUGCAAUUUGUUUGAGGCUUUUUCCUUUCUCAUUGAGGGAUAAAGCUAAAGAAUGGUUGAAUACGUUCCGUACUGGCUCAAUAACAACAUGGGAUGAUCUUGCUCAAAAGUUCCUUGCUAAGUUCUUUCCUUCGACUAAGACAACAAAAAUGAAGAAUGAUAUUACAUCAUUCAUGCACGAAGAUUCUGAAUCAUUGCACGAGGCUUGGGGAAGAUGCAAAGAAUUAAUUCUGCAUUGUCCUCAACAUGGUAUUCCAAAGUAGCUUUAGGUGUAAACUUUCUACAAUGGCUUGACUAGGCAUGUUCGGAUUACUAUUGAUGUCACUAUAGGAGGAGCUUUAAUAGCUAAUCAAUUGAUGAGGCAUAUGAUUUGUUGGAAGAAAUGGCUACAAAUAACUACCAUGACCAACCAAGAGAUCAAUGCAUAAGAGAGUAGUUGGAAUUCAUGAUGUAAAUGCUCAUUUGGCAUUAUUUGCGCAAGUAGCAGCUUUAACUAAGACACUUGAAUCUUUUGGUACAAACUCCAUCAAAGUCCUUUUGUAGGUUGUAAAUGUUGUGUAGAUAAUCAUGCAAGCCAUCAAUGUCCAAGUUUGACAGAAACAGUGCAAUUUGUGGGGAAUAAACAACAAAAUAACCUUUACCCCAACAUAGACAACUUAGAGUGGAGUAACCAUCCAAAUUUCUUUUGGGCUAAUAAUCAAGGAUCUUCCUCAACUUCAAGGCUAAAUGCAAUUUCGGGAUUCUAAUAGCAAGCCAGAGCAUUUUUCUCAAAAAAAAAAAGCCAGCUGUGGAAGACUUACUAAGGUAGUACAUGAAACAGAAUGAUAGCAUCAUACAAAGUCAAAUAGCUCUUAUUCAGAGUCAAGCAGCAUCACUUCGAAACCUUGAGACUCAAAUUGGUUAACUUACCAAUUUAUUAAACAACUAACCUCAAGGAGCACUACCUAGCGAUACAAAGGUGAAUCCUAGAAGAGAGGGUAAGGAAAAAGUUAUGGCAAUCACCUUGAUGAGCAAAAAAGGGUUGAAAGUAGUGUUAAGCAAGCUAUACUUCAAGAUGAGCAUAUUGAAAAUGAAAUAGUGAUUGAGUCAAUAGAUAAGUAAAUUCAAGAGAAUGAAGAAAAGGCAACUCUACCACUACCACCCUUUCGUCAGCAUUUUCAAAAACAAAAGCUUGAUAAGCAUUUCCAAAAGUUUCUUAAGGUAUUCAAAAAGCUUCACAUCAACAUUCCUUUCACAGAAGCUUUAGAGCAAAUGCCAUCAUAUGUGAAGUUUCUAAAGGGCAUAUUGACAAAGAAUAGGAAAUUGAAGGAUUUUAAGACAAUUACACUCACUGAAGAGGGUAGCACGAUAAUCCAAAAUAAGCUUCCACCAGAACUUAAGGACUUAGGGAGCUUUUCUAUCCCUUGCUCAAUUGGUAAUUUUAAUUUUUCAAAAGCUUUAUGUGAUUUGGGUGUUGGUGUCUCAAUUAUCCUUUUGUCUGUUGGUAGGAGAAUUGGACUAAAGGAGAUUCAACUUACUACAUUGAACUUGCAGCUAGCAAACAGAAUGAUAAGGCACCCUUGUGGGAUUAUAGAGGAUGUCUUACUUAAAGUGGGGAAAUUGUACAUUCCAAUAGACUUGCUUAUACUUGAGAUGGAGGAAAAUCAAAAGGUUUCAAUCAUAUUGGGGCAUCCAUUCUUGGCCAUUGCAGGCACAAUUGUCCUUGUAAAAAAAGGUAGAAUAACUUUUAGAGUUGGUAAGGUAGUAGUUGAAUUUACUAUUUUCAAUGAAACUAAAUAUCCUUCUUCCACAGCCUAUUGCUAUAAAAUGUAAUUAGUCGAUAAAAGGUAAAGGUAAUUCUACUCCACCACUUAUAAGUAAGCCAGCACCAACUCUUGAGUGAAAGCCACCGCCACCACAUCUCAAAACUAAGUAGUGUUAUGAUGAGCAUUGUCACGACCUGAUUUUUGAGCCAUGAUCGGCGCAUGGACUCUAUGGACAUAGUCCGCUAAGCCCAAGCAAGCCUAUUUAUAUAAUCCUACUCAUCAUCCCGUCAACUAUUCUUACAUAUACAUCUCAUAAUCUCAACCCUUAAGUACUUUAAUAGUAAGUUAUAACAAUCAAAACUGCAUUUAUAUUCGCCAAAAAUAACCUUAACCAUUGCCACUCAUGGUGGCUUUACCAAUCAAAAUGUACAUAUAUGGUCUAAGGCAUACAUCUUAGUACUUUACAUCACAUGUACGUAUUUACAAACAAAAAUGACUCUGGGUUUCCAACGAAGUGACCAAGGUGAAGGUGCGGCUACGGAAUGCCAAGAUACCUACCAAGGAGAUGAAACUACAUGGACACCUCGACUUAGGUUCCAACUACCUCUUGAUCUGAAAACAUGAAGUUGAAAACAGUGAGUACAAACUCAAUGAGUGAACAUAAGAAGGGAAAAAGCAAGAUAAGGAAAGUUGAUAAUCACGAUGCAUUUAUUUGAAAACAAUGCAAUUUAGUUCAAGUUCUUAUUAAAAUCCCUCUAUUAAACCCUUGGUUAUUAAAUCAUUUAAUGAUGAAGGAACCACAUUCAGCAUGAAAUUGGAAAGAGAGGAAAUUCCCAGCAAUAAUCUGAAUAAGGCAGCAUAAUAGACAGAUUAUCGCUGCAGUGCAAAGGUAUUCUUGCUGUAGCGAACUUCAGGCACAAAUCAUCAACGGAAUGAGGGUUUCACUCAACUGCACGAGGGUUUCGCGUUAGAACCCCUUGUCUCAAACUAAAUUAAUUAAUCCCUUGACAUUGGAAAUCCAUGAUCAACCAUGUUGUUAAAGCAGUGGAAAAUAUAGCAAAAACCAACAAGGUAGCAUGCAAGACAGAAAGUUUCUCGCUGCAGUGAGUUACAGGCAGCAAAAAUAGAAUGUUUCUCACUACAGCGAGAAGUAGGGCACCUAAAUAAAGAAGGGCCUCCUUUGCACUAAACAUCCAUUUGGUGCUGCAAUAAAAUCAAUUUGCAAGUAAAUGGAAAUUUUCAAGAUUCAUCAUGGCAUACAAUCACAUAUUAUAAUCAUGAUCUUUUUAUUGCAUAAACAUAUACCUAAACAUAUAUCAAUUCGUAUACCACCCCAUCUCACCCAGCUCAUGUGUAUCCCCCCACAUCGUGCACAUAGCCGGAGUCAUCGCGUGCAUCCCCCCACAUCGUGCAUAGGUACAGACAUCAUGUGCUCCCCCACAUCGCGCACAGUUGAUGCCAUCGUGUGCAUCCCCCCACAUCGUGCACACGGGUAAUAUCACCAUCCAUCUCCCUCACCACCAUCAUCAGCGACAGGUGCACACUCACUCCGCACAUGCAUGGUUGCAUUUGUCACAUAAUGGUACCAUUUAUGACAUAGUAUAUAUAUAUAUAUAUGUAUAUCAACAUUAUACAGAAACAUAUGGAUUCAUCACACUAUCCAUUUCGUAACAUAAAAACAUUUCAUAAGGGCUUGUUCUCGUGCGAGUUUUGAAGAAAGAACCAAUAAAACGCUUUAGAGGAUUAAAUCAAACAUACAUGUGUAUAUCCCAAAACCUUUUUAAUGCAAGUUCACUCACCGGUAUUUGUUGAACCUUUAGUCGACUCUAACUUCCCUAAUGGUCCAAUUGGGGCUGAGGGGCCUCGUUGGAACCUAUCACGCAUAAAAACAUCAUAGCCAAUCAAUUUACAUUAAUAUCUGUGACAGCCCAAUUUUCGAGCCAUGACAGGCGCAAGGGACCAAUGGGCUUAGCCCACCAAGCCCAAGCAAGCCUACUUACAUGAUCUUAUACGUUAACCCAUAUUCCUUUAGAAUUUGAAAUUUAUAAUGCUCAAUUAUAAUUCUUUUGAAAACAACUCAUAAAACCCAGUCAUGUAUUCAUAAUGGCAUCAUCAACCAUUAUAUACAUACAUAUAAUUUGACAAAUGAAUCUCAGCAUUUCACAACAAGUAGUCAUAUACAUGUAAUUGGAACUUGGCCGUCAGUGGAGUGACUCUCAGCAUAGUUACUAACAUUUAAUGUCAUGGUAAACCUACCGAGCAAUGGAUAGGAAGGAAUACCUCGUCCUAGAAUCCAAUCACCUUUGACUCUAACAACCUAAAACAUGAAGUUUAAAAAGUGAGUAUAAACUCGGUGAGUGAACAUAGGAAUGGAACAAGCAAUGAUAAGGAAUUGUUUAGGAAACAUGAUGCAUUUAUUUGAAAACAAUGCCAUUUAGUUCAAGUUCUUAUUAAAAUCCCUCCAUUAAACCUUUGAUUGUAAAAACAUUUAAUGAUGAAAGAAUCGUAUUCAGCAUGAAAUUGGAAAGAAAGGAAAUUUUCAGCAAUUAACCAAGCAAGGCAGUAUAAACAGAAUGUUUCUCGUCAUUCAUUUCAAUCACAUAUUAUAAUCAUAAACUUUUUAUCACAUAUACCUAUAUAAACAUAUAUAAACAUGUCCACCACCCCCACUUCAUUCAUCGUCAUAGCCAAGUCAUCAUCAUUAUCAGCUUAUGCGCACUCCCUACUCGCACAUAGUCUGAUCAGCAUCGGCUUAUGCGCACUCCCACUCUCACAUAGCCAGGUCAGCAUCGGCUUAUGCGCACUCCUACUAGCACAUAGCUAGGUCAGCAUUAGCUUAUGUGCACUCCCUACUCGCACAUAGCCGAGUCAAUAUCAUCACACAACAUUAUUCAUCAAUGCACAACAUAUAUUCAUAUAUAUACAUACCAACAUGAUAUAAGAGCACAUGGAUUUAUCCUUUCGCACAUUUCACAUUUUCACAACAUCAAAACAUUUUAUCAAUGGCUUGUUCCCCGGCACACAUUUUUAAAGAAAAGUUGGAUAAAAUCAUUCAAAUGUUUCAUCCAAAAACAAUUACACUUCCCAAAGAAUUUUGAAAUGCAAGUUCACUCACCUGGCAACAACGAGAUAUUAAGUUGUUAUUUGUUCGGAGGUGUCUCUAACUAUUUUCAUUGGCCGGUCACUCGUUAUUUACUCUGUCACGCCACCACAGUACUCUAACCUUAUCUUUACACUUGCUAGCAAUAAUACGAACUCAAUAUAUUUAAUUACAUAUGUAUACGGGCAGCACUUCAAUCAAUUAAUCCUUACUCAAAUUUAUAUUUUUUAUCCUACCAUGAAACCAUCUUCAAUUAACUCACAUCUUAAUACAUUUUUACUAAAAUUACAUAUGUCAGUUGCUUACGUAAUUCCUUAUUUUAUAUCUCCGACAACUUAUUUAUGAUGUCACAUGCCUACUUCAACCUUUCUAAACAAUUUUCGCCCAAAUCCAUCUUAUAUUUCCACAGUAUUAACUAUAUUUACGGCAACCACCGUCAUUUCAAAUCUAUCCAAUUAUUUUUCAAUUUCAAUCCAAAUUAUUUCUCCUUAUUUCUUCCAAAUAUUAUACCACUCAACUUAACACUUUCAACUAAAUUAUGCCAAUAAAUUCCUCCGACAACAAUAAUUCUUCACAACAAAUCAUUUAAAAUUUCUUAACUUCACUUGAGCACUAUUCAUCAAUUUCAUAUUUUCUUCAUUACUUUAGUCCUACGACACAUCCUAAUACAAUUUUUAAAUAUUGUAUUAAAGUAGUUUAAAUUUAAUUCAUAUCACUAAUAACCAAAAUUUAACUAAACAAGUGGGCUAACCCCAAAUAAUCCAACUUCAUAACAAGCCCAAUAAAAGCAAGGAAGUUUUUACCUAUUUGGGCUAGGUUAGCCCAAACCCAAGUCUCCACCUUUAUUUUAUUUUGGACUUUUCUUUCUUUGUUGCUAUUGGGCCUUUUCCAUGAGCUCUUCCUAUUUCUUCCUAUUGGGCCAUGCCCAUUCUUUUCUUAUUGGGCUAUGCCCACUCUCUCUUCUUCUUUUUUUCCUCAUCUAUAUCUCAUUUUACCUCUAUUUUGAAUUUUCUUCAUUCCCAUCUACCAACUCCCAAUUCUUCCUUUUUUCUUAUAAUUUUAUUAUUUAUUUUAUUUCCUCUAAAUAUUAAAAUUUCAUGUAUAAAUCUUUCAACUUUCCUCUCUUACAAUUUGACCCUUCCGACACAAUUUAAAUUCUAAUUUCUAUCUAUCUUUCUUCUUUUACAUGUGUACAACCAAAAUAUCAAAGUUGUACUCCAACACGGUAUCACCAUAAUAUUUAAAAUAUUUAUUUACGCGCGCUAUCUUACCUAAUAAAGACACGCGGCCUUGUUAACGUCAUUUUUUCUCCAAAAUGUUCUCAUCUCCUUUUGUCUCCUUGGUACCCAAAAUACCUUAUUAUGCCUCAAUUCACUUUCGAAUCACUUUUUAUCUCAUAAAUUUUUCUCUGAUAAGAUAUUAUUAUUUUCUCGCGUGCGAAAUAUUUUAUCCCAACUGUUCCUUUCAUCUUUCAUCACUUUUAAACAUUAUAAUUAACCUCAAUUGGCAUCCAAUAAGCUUUAUUAGUCACCACAUCAAGUACAUGGUAUUACAAUAUCGCUCCAAAAGUUGUUUCCCAAAUCAAGCUUUAAUAGGCCUUCCUAUCUACCUUCCAAUUACCAUUUGAUUGGCUAUUCAGUUUCUCUUCAUUAGUAACACUAGAAAUAGAUAAACAACUUCAGCAAUAACACAACUCAUAACUUCAAUUACUAGCCAUUAUCAACAACUUAAAACCAAUCUUAAUUCAUCACUCACUUUGGUGGAUUGUAAUGAAAUUCCUCUCCAAGAGUCCUCAAGCUAUCAUGAAAUCUCUCCCUCUCUCUCUCUACAUAGUUCAAUUGGUGAGAGAAAGUAUUGAAGAAAGACUUUUAAGGGUUUGUUUAAGGUGAGGGAGUAAAAGAGUAUGAAAAACCUUGCAACAGGGUGUGUAAAGCACGAAGAUUAAGGUUAGUUUGAGAGAGUGAUGGAAGCUUGAGAGAAGCUUUCAUGGAAGAGGAGAGAAACAUGAGAGUGGAGGAAGAAGAAGAAGUUGCUAGAGAAAUGAAGAAGCUGCUGAAAGAAUGAGAUCCUUAUAAUUAAAGUUUAUCCAACUUUACUUAAUUAUCGAAAUACCCCUAACAAGGCCACUUGUAUUCCUCCCUUCCCAUAUGCAGUCUUUUCACUCUUUUAACCCAAAGACAAGGUCCAUAAUAGUCUAAAAGUACUCGAGUUCACAAAAAUUAAAAUAUUUGACUCGGGGUGCAAAAUGACCAUUUUGCCCCUAUUGUGAAAAUUAUUGUCACUUCUAGUUUUCUUCAUGUUUCCAUCAUUAUACAUCAUUCAUUUUGUCCUUACGCCCAUGUAGACCUUAAAAAAUAUUAAAAAACCUUAUUCUGAGAGAUUAUUAGAGGAAAUGAUGAAAUUACCCUUAGUCCGUGUUAUCUCAUCUACUUCUAAUUACAAGUCUACAGAGAUCGAGGUCUCACAAGCAUAAUCCACCACCUUCUAGUGAUCUUGAUUUUGAGGUUAGACUGCACGUAGCACUCUCUAGUUCACACCUCUAUUUUUUACCAUGGCAACUUCAACCAUACUGGUGGAAAACUUUUAAAGUGGUAAAAGUUGUCUUAUGGCCAUAUUUAGAUUUUUAGUACAUUUAUAGGAGAAUUCAAGGUAAUGAAACAAAGCCUCAAGCAUUUUUACGAUGAUGAAGAAGUGAAAAAAUGAGUAUCAUAGUCAAGCUAGUGACUAUAAAAAGGCAUUUCUCAAGAGGCAACCCAAGCUAUAUCUUUUUAAGUUUAGUUGCUAUUUUAGUUAGUUUUUAUUUUAUUAUAUUUAAAUAAGUAGCUAUAACAUUUACCUAGCUUGUUUUGCUAAGUAUGAAAGUUUGGAAAACAUGAAGAUAAGGAGAAAGAAAGUUCGAGCUUUCAAUGCACUGUCACCAUUGAUAGGGGAGCUUUUUUGCUUAUUCUUUUUAGCUUUUCACAUUGAAGACAAUGUGCAAUUUAAGUUUGGGGGAGGGUUUUAUUAUUAUUUGUUUUUGUGAUAUUUUAGAUUAGUUUAUUUUCAUUAAAUUUUUUUUUAAAUUUUAUGCAUGUUUUAAAAACUUGAGCUAAAUUUAUUUGUGCCAAUUUCUUUUAAUUGACCUAUCCAAUGAUGAGAACCUAAUUAUAUUCCUAUCUUGAUUCUUUGAAACAUGUGGAUAUUGUUUGAGUAUUAUUUAAAUUUUUACACUAAGCUUCAUUGUUAGGAUGAGAUUUCCACUCAAUUUAAACACCAUAUCUUUUGUUUAAAUUAAGUAUGCAUAUCUAGAGAAGAUUUAUGUGAGUGUAAAAAUUUUGAAUUAUGUUUUAAGUUCUAGAAUUUGUUUGAUUUUCUCUCGAGGUAAAAUCCUAGGCUAUACAUGUUGGUCCCAAUAAUAUGUGCUAGAGGGGAGGUGAAUAGCAUAAAUCAGCUCUUGACAAGAUGAGGAACUAAUUUCUAGCAUAAAGAAAAUAAAAACAGAGUAGACAAUGCACAGAAAUUUAUAGAGGUUCGGUCCAAGAUCUACAUCCACUACCUUGAUUAUCCAACCGAGGAUUUUCCCAACAAUUUCACUAAUAACCGGUGAAAUUCACAAGCUUUCACCAAGCUUUACAAUGGCUUUUACAAGGCUCAGCCAAAACCUUUUACACUAGUUUUUUACAAGCUAAACUAAAACCUAAAGUGGUUUCUCAAAGGCUCAACCACAACCUUUCACAAUGGUUUUUCACGAGCUCAACAAAAACCCAAAGUGGUUUUUUCAAAGGCUCAACCACAACCUACAACAAUGAUUUUUACCAGGAUCAACCAAAACCCAACAACAAAUUUUUCUAGACUAAGUUGGAACCUUUACACUCAAUGAAGCUAAUACCCCAUACUUUGAUGUGGUGACUACUCAAGCUUAUCGGAUGCCAAUUGAGGUUAAUUAUAAUGUUUAAAAGCGAUAAAAGAUGAAAGGAAUAGUUUGGGAUAAAAUAUUCCGCACGUUAGGAAAUAAUAACAAAAUAAUAAUAUUUUUAUCGGAUAAAAACUUACAAGAUCAAAAGUGAUUUGGAAGUGAAUUGAGGCAUAAUAAGGUAUUUUGGGUACCAAUGAGACAAGAGGAAAUUUUUGAACUAAAAUAAUAUUUCAUUAAUAAAAUAAUAUAAAAAUAUUAAUAUUUUAUUCAAUAUCAAAAGUUUUCCUGAAGGAGUAUGUGGUCAAUCUAAGUGGGGGAGAAGAAGAAUGAGAAAAAUUUCAGAGAAAAAUGACGUUAAUGGGGUCACGUGUCUUUAUUAAGUAAAGAUAGUGUGAGUAAAUAAAUAUUUUAAACAUUAUGGGGACACCGCGUUGGAGUAUAAAUUUUAUACCUUAUUUGUACAUGUGUAGAAGAAGAUAAUAAAAGGAAAUUGGAGUUAAAUGAGUGUUGGGAGGAUUAAAUUAAAAAGGGAAAAACUUAGAGGGUAAAACGGUAAUUUCGUACAAAAUUUGGUCAAAGCUUUCAAAGGAAGCUUUGACUCUCUCAUGUUUUUUUUUGUCCUUCAUGGUCGGCCAUUUCAUGUUGAAAUGUUGAAAUGUAAGGCAUGCCUAAGCCAACCAAUGAAGAUGGCGUUAAUAACAAUGACAAAAGAAGACAAAAUUUGCAUAAAAAGGUCAUAUUUUAUUCAAGCCACCUAGGGACCAACGGCAACUCUUUUUUUCAAGAAAGGGGUGCAUAUUUUUUUUAUCCUUCUUUGGGAUAAACGGCAGCCCAUAUUUGUAGCCACUUGACAUGCAAAGAGUGCAUGCUUAUCUAGACUCCAUUGAUAUCAACAGAAAGGAGAGGAAAGAUUUUUUUUAAGAAUUUUGGUUUAGAUUGUAAAGGGAAGCUUAGGUUUUGGGGAGUCACUGGCUGCGAGGAAUAGAGAGGAGAGGAAGCCAUUGGCAGAAGAAGAAAGAAAGGAAAAAGAAAGAGAAAAAGGAUAAAGCUAAAAAAAAAGGAAAGAAAGAAAAUAUAUAUGUACAAAAGGAGAGAGGUAAGAGUUUAAUUUUUUUAGUUCCAGUUUGGGUAUUUUCUAGACGGGAAAGGUUUGAUCUUUUGGAGCUGGUAGAGGAAGUGAGAGCUCGAGUUAUUUGGGUAGCAAUGAGGAGAACCGGUUUAGGCAAACAAAAGAGAGAGUUGGGUUUUGGUGCUAAUCGGUAAAAAGGGAAAUUCAAUCGGGAGGUCGGUUAGCAAGGGAAAAAAGAAGAGAAAAUUUUGAGGUUAAAGGGAAGGGAAAGGAAGUCGACUGUAGAGAGAGAGAGAGAAAUGGUGAGAAAGUAUAAAAAAAAAAACAAAGAGGAGAGAGUGGGCAUAGCCCAAUAAGAAAGAAUGGGCAUGGCCUAAUAGGAAGAAAUAGGAAGAGCCCAUGAAAAGGGCCCCAUGGCAACAAAGAAAGAAAAGUCCAAAAGAGAAUAAAGGUGGAGACUUGGGCUUGGGCCAACCUUGCCCAAAUAGGUAAAAGUUUCUUUGCUUUUAUUGGGCUUGUUAUGAAGUUGGACUAUUUGGGGCUAGCACACUUGUUUAGUUAAAUCUUGGUUAUUAGUGAUAUGAAUUAAAUUUAAAUUACUUUAAUAUAAUAUUUAAAAAUUCUUUUAUGAUGUCUCAUAGGACAAAGCAAAGAAGAAAAUAGGAAAUUGAUGAAUAGUACUCAAGUGCAAUUAAGAAAUUUUAAAUGAUUCGUUGCGAAGACUUAUUGUUGUCGGAGGAAUUUAUUUGCACAAGUUAGUUGAAAUGUUAAGUUGAAUGGUAUAAUAUUUGAAAGAAAUAAGGAAGAAUAAUGUGGAUUGAAAUUGGAAAAUAAUUGGAUAGAUUUGAAAUAACUGUGGUUAUCGUAAAUAUAAUUAAUAUUGUGGAAAUAUAAGAUGGAUUUGGGCAAAAAUUAUUUAGAAAGGUUGAAGUAGGCACAUAACAUCAUAAAUAAGUUACCGGUGAUAUAAUCUAACGAAUUACAUAAGCAACGAAUAUAAGUAAUUUGAGUAAAAAUGUAUUAAGAUGUGAGUUAAUUGAAUAUGGUUUCAUAAUAGGGUGAAAAAUAUAAAUUUGAGUAAGGAUUAAUUGAUUGAAGUGUCACGACCCAAUUUCCCAAGCCAUGACCGACGCAUGAGCUCCAUGAGCAUAGCUCACUAAGCCCAAGCAAGCCUAUCCAUUUACCUUUGCUUAACAAAUUUAUCAUAUCAUGCAUACACACACACCUUUUUCCGGGUGUGAACAUAGCCAAAACACAAUGGCAUUAUCGAUAAUAAUAUGCAUGCACUAUGUCAGUCAUGUAUUUAGCAAUUUACAUUGCAUACACAUAUUCACAUUGUUAGAUUGUAUUCACAAUACAAAAGGACUCAUGACUUCUAGUGGAGACAUUUAUAAUAAAAGGGAUUACUAUCGAAUGCCAGACACAUACCUAGGAGAUGCACUAUGGGGACUCCUCGAUCUAGGGUCCAACAGUCACCUGAUCUGAAAACAUGAAUUUUUAUAAAACGUGAGUACAAUACUCAGUGAGUGAACAAGAAAGGAACAAGCAUACCAUAAGGAAUGUUUAUCGAAAUCAUGAUGCAUUCAUUUUCUCAAAACCAUGUAAUUGUUUUAGCUCCUUUAAACCCUUCAUGUAAACCCCACAUGAGUAAAUCACUUUAAAAAAUCCAUGCUCAACUAUGGUACCAAAGAAAUGGGAAAUAUGGGCAAAACCCACAAGUUAGCAAAAUGGACAGAAAGUUUCUCGCUGUAGCGAGAACCAGUUCUGGUGAAGGCCCUAAAACCCGAGAGUUUCUCACUGUAGCGAGAAUGAAUUUCGCUGCAGCGAAACAGAGCAACAAGAGAAAAGUUUCCCUUCAUUCAACAAAAAGGCCAUCCUACUAAACUAACAAAAUCAACAUAAAACUCAUGAAAAUUCCCAAAGUGCAAUGUAUCAAAUUUCACAUAUAUGUUAACCAUAUAACACAUUCAUGAGCUUUCAUUUCAUAAGUCUAGAUAUGCAUAAUUAGAUAGACAAACAUCAAUAUCAUCAUAAUCACACCCGGCUCAUGUACAUCCCCCCACAUCGUGCACAUAGCCGGCACCAUCGUGUGCAUCCCCCCACAUCGUGCACAAUCAGUGCCAUCGUGUACAUCCCCCCACAUUGGGCACACGGGCACUAUCAUCAUCCAUCUCUCACGCCACCAUCAUCACCGGCAUGUGCAUCCCCCCACAUCGUGCACACACAUGGUUAUAGUCAUUAUACACAAUAUCAUUCAUCAUGCACAACACACAUAUAUAUAUAUCAUCAUAUUGCAAUAAUGCAUGAAUCCAUAGCAAUCACAUAUCACAACAUCAAACCAUUUAAGAAAAGCUUGUUCCCAAGGUACAUUUUCUAAGACAAGUUGGAUAGAAUCUUUCAUAUUCCCCAAAACAAGUUUGAAAUGCAAGUCCACUCACCGGUAUCGAAAAUUCAGAUUUCGGGUGCACUUGGACUAAUAGUCCUCAAGCGCAAUUCCUUUGCUUUUUCCGGACGUCUCACUACCUUGACAAAUAACAAAGUCGAGGAAUUUACUAUAUUGUCCCUAAAUUGAUAUAAACUAAUUUAAAUUACUAAUGCUUGAUAUGUAAAUGCAAAAAUACGUCCGAUUACCGCUUAAUCGCGGUAUCGAUUAAAUUCGACCGAUCACCCGAUUAAUCGGCGAUUGUGUCCAAAUCACCUCCAAAUUAAUUCAUUUCUCCUCUAAUACCUUAAUUUACCACAUACCAUUUAAAUAAAGCCAAAUUCAGCAUUAGAACCCUCACAGUUCCUUAUAGAAAAAUUUGGUCAUUUGGUGCACUAACAUCGAAUUUUUUUCUACAUAACCGUUUCACCUUAAUUCAUCAUUUUCCAAGCCAUUUUCCUUGAAAUAAAAACAAUCCCCCAUUGAUAUUCAGCCCUCAUGGUUCGACCAACAAGGAACCCUAGAGAAAUUGAAUAUUUCUUUUGUGUUUUUGUUCAUAACCAUGCUUAACUAUCCCUAAACACUAACAUAGUCUAAAAUCAAAUUAUUCCAACAACAAUUCCUCUUCCAUACCCAUUUUUCAGAAUUGAAUUCAUCAUGAUAACUCAAUAUUCAACCAUGGAAAUCAAGAACAAAAGCAUGGGUAAGCUAGGUAUCAAGGAGAAUUAAAGAAAUUUUAACUUACCUAGCUUGUUUCCUUGAUUUCUUCACUUUUUCUUUGAAUUUCCACCUAGGUUUUCUUGUUUUUCCUUUUGUUCUUCCUUUUUUCUUGUUGCUGGAUGCCUAGGCCGAAUAUGGUGAGGGAAUUGGGGAUUUAAUGGGCUGAUUUCUAUAGAAAAUAAUAAAAUAAUCAAGUAUGCCACGUGUCACAUGCUUAUUGGCCCAAAUUUUUAACUUUUUGACUUUUUCUUCUUAAUUUUCCACCACAAAUAUUCUAGUAUUUAUCCAAUCCUACCACAAUUAAAAUUCCUUGGUUUUGACAAGUGCUGGGGUGAAACAUUUACUGAUUUGCCCUUGGAAAGAAAAAAUUACGAUUUUACCCCUAUACUCUGAAAUUUACCGAAAUCACAUUAUUUUUACUUUUCAACCUUCAAUAACACUAAUAUUGAUCAAUAUUAACCAAAUGGGGCAAAAUUUGUUUUAUAAAAAUUUUCGUUUAGUCCUCUAGUGGCCAAAUUACCAUUUUACCCUUGUGCUCCAAAAAUACCGAGAAUCACAAUUUUUCACUACUAAACAUCAUUUUAUACUCCAAUAAUCAUAAUUAUAUUUCAUACAAUUAUUCUUGGUCAAAUGUGAUCAAAUCUUGGCUAAAAAUCUCCAUUUUAUCAACAAAUGGUAAAAUGACCGUUUUAUCCUUAAUCGGUCAAUUUUCUUGAUGGACUCCAAACUGGACCUUGAACUCCAAAUCACUAUUCUAAGCCAUUCUGUGGGUUUCAAAAUUUUCAAAUUCCUCUCAAAUUUUCUAUUUGAACUAGUUUAAGGCUCGAUUUAACUUAGUUGUACCACUUAGUACAAUACCGUCUUUUAAUCGAGCUUGACAGGGUCUCACAUGAAGUGCUGCCCGUAUACGUAUAUAAUUAAAAAUUUUGAGUUUGUAAGGAAAUGCAAAGGUAAGGUUAGAGCAAUAUGGUGGCGUGUCAAAGUAAAUAACGAGCGAUCAGCUAGUGAAAAUAGUUAGAGACACUUCCGAACAAAUAACUACUUAAAAUCUCAUUGUUGCUAGGUGAGUGAACUUACAUUAAAAUAUUUUGGGAUAUACAUAGUUAUGUUUGAUUGAAUCCUCUAAAAUGUUUUAGUGGUUUUCCUUCAAAAACUCGCACGGGAACAAGCCUUUAUGAAAUGUUUUUAUGUUAUGAAAUGGAUAGUGUGAUGAAUCCAUGUGUUUCUAUAUAAUAUUGAUGCAUAUAUAUAUAUAUACUAUGUCAUAAAUUAUACAUUGUGUGACAAAAUGCAACCGUGCAUGUGCGGGGUGAGUGCGCACGUGCCGGUGAUGACGAUGGUGAGGGAGAUGAAUGAUGAUAUUGCUUGUGCACGAUGUGGGGGGAUGCACACGAUGACUCUGGCUAUGUGCACGAUGUGGGGGGAUGCAUAUGAGCUAGGUGAGACGGGGUAUCCGACUAUGUGCACGAUGUGGGGGGAUGCACAUGAGCUGGGUGAGAUGGGGUGUCCGGCUAUGUGCACAAUGUGGAGGGAUGUACAUGAGCUGGGUGAGAUGGUGGUGUAUGUGCUUAUAUAUAUAUUUACUAUAUAGAGAUGUUUGGAUACAAUAUGUGAUUGCAUUGUCUAUUGAAAACUUGAGUAUUGUCAAUGUGUUCAAUUUAAUGUUCAAUGUGGCAUGAGUGUGGAUUUUUCCGGUGGUAGUGAAAGCCCCUUGGAUUUUAUUUGGCCAGAAUUUCGUUGCAGCGAGAAUGCUUUUUUGCUGCAGAGAGAGUCAAUCUAUUAUGCUUGACUUGCUUGAAUUUUACUAAAGUUUUCACUUCUUAACUUUUUUGUUAUUCAUGAGUCUUUCGUCAUCAAGUGACUAAAUGACUAAGGGUUUGAAUGAGGGGUUUUUAAAUAGAAAUAAACUAAAUUGCAUUGUUUUGAACUUAAGUGCAUCAGGAUUUCUAAACCUUCCUUAACGUUGCUUGUUCCCUUCUUAUGUUCACUCACUGAGUUUAUACUCACGUUUUCAACUUCAUGUUUUCAAAUUCAGGGGUGGUUGGAACGUAGAUUGAGGUGCCCAUGUACACCCAUUUUUCGGUAGGUAUCCUGGUAUUCAGUAGUCAUAUUCCCCAUCCAAAGUCACUCCGCUGACGGUAUAGGUCUUUGUAUAUGCUCAAUGUGAAUUGAUAAAAUACAUUGCAUAGACUAUCUAUGUAUAUUUCGAACUAUGAUGCCAAUGUGAGCAUCCACUUGGGUUCUAUGAAUUGCAUUUGAAGAAAUUGACAUUUGAACACUAUUAAGUAUAGAUCUUAGAGAAAUAUGAUAGAUAGAUGGACUAAUAUACAAGUGCAUAUAGAGAGACGCUUGCUUAGGCCUAGUGGGCUGUGCCUAUUGGGUCCUUGCGCCAGUCAUGGCUCGAAAAUUGGGCUGUGACAAACUUGGUAUCAGAGCUCUAGGUUUAACUAAGUCCUAAGAUUCUUUGUGUUUGUUAGCGGAGUUGUUAGAGUUAGUGUAGAGUUCUGUUCUUGGUUUGUGGGUGCGCAACACGAAUCAAGGAAAUGAGGCUACAUGAACUCUUUUUCAUCUAGAAACCUACCUUUGUCUUAGUACUACAAGGUUAAGAAUUAAUGCUCAUUUGUAUACAGGUUUGAGGUGCCUCUGUGACACAACAUGAGCAGCGGCGGUAAGAAACUGGAAAGGUCCCCUAAUGUUGAAAAAGGAUAGACGGACUCCACUGCUUGGAGUCAUUACGAGCUAAAGGUUGAAAGCGUGGCUAGUAAUCCACUCUGACUUUCUAAUGAACAGGUCCCACUAGGAGUGGAAAUAGUGUCUUGUAAAGGGAAAGGUCUCGAAAGUAGUGAAAGCCUUGCAAUUAAGAAUAGCUCUGGUACUUUGGGAUACGUGAACAAAUUACUGCAGGAAUGGUAUAAGAAAAAGACAGAAGAGAAAAUUGCAAAAAGAGAUAUUUGUCUUAGGAAGGUAUCCGUUGUUCGACACUUUCCUCCUGGAUGUGGAAUAAGCGUCGUACCUGUGAGUAGUGAUGAAUGCAGGAGAAUACAGCAAGCUUGGAUUGAGGAAAAAAUGAGAAAAUCUUAAGAGGAAGAGAAAGACCCUGAAGAGGAUCCGUCGAUGUGCCCAGAUCAAGGUGACGAGGAUCCUAAAGACACUUAAUAUUUUCGUUGAAGUUCGUAUCACUUUAAGUCUAGGCAGAUGCGGUGUAAGAAUAAUAAUAGUAGUUAUAUGUACAAAGGAGUUGAGAGUUAGCUUUUAUUUCGUAUGACUCAAACGGAUUAUAAAGCAGCUGUUUAAAUGACUGGAUGUGUAUGGGAAUCUUUUGGGUAUGACAGAGGUAAACUAGCAAUAUAAUUAUCGAGAAAGGAUAUUCACCUUAGUGGCGUGGUUGGUUGCCUUAGAUAAUUAUUAAGGAUUGACGUAGAAAGUUAUUAAUGGUACAAACAACUACGAAACCUGAUAAAUGAUUACUGGUUAAUCGUGGAAAGGUGGAAAUUGAAAUCCCAGUUACAGUUACAAUUCGGAAGGAUAUGGGAGAAAUCAAUGAGGGUAUAGGUGAUGUUUGGAAUGGAUGAUGUGAUUAAAUUCAAGGAUUAUAAAAUUUAAGUAUGGAGGGAACUACAAAAUGAUGUCAUGAUAUUAUAAGAUGAUAAUUGGGCACAAAUAUAGACUAAGGGAGACAAAUUGUGGAACUUGGGAGAAGGUGAAUCCUUGAUUUAAUAAAUAUUAUGAAUGUAGAGCGUGGAGAAAGAUGAACUAUUUUCAUGGUCAUUUUAUACUGAAAGUCAACAAAACUAUUUGAGUUACAAGACAAGAAAGACAAUUAAUUGUGAAUGUUAAGAAAUUGUGGAAUGUCAUACAUGGUGAAAAAAAUUUUGUGUGUGCUAUUAUAUGUUGAGAAUUUGCUGCACAAUAUGGAAAGAUUGUCCUAAGGUGAGACUUAUUGGUUGAAGAUAGGUGUUAAAGGAUAAAAUGAGUUUGAAAAAUAUUGACUUAGCUAAAUGGGGAGGGUUAGUAAAACCACAAGGCCAAUUGUGUGGCACACUGGAAAUCUAUGAAGAUGAAUUGGGGAUUGAAUGGACGAGUAUUUAUUUAUAUAUCUUUAAGAAUAGGUGCAUGUCUAUAGAACGAUAUGCUUGGGAUGUUAAGGAGUAAAUAAGAGACUAAGUGUUUCAAGAAUGCACAAAUAUCUUCGAGAAGGAAUUACUAAUCAUACACGGCAAGUAUAAAAUGUGGGAUUUUUAAAACUUACUGAGGAGCCUAAUGGCUAAGUCACGAGUUAAGUAAUCACAUGUGGUGAGACAUGAGUUUAAGAUAGGUAUCCCCAAGGAAAUACUCAAGAGGAGUUUUGCUAUGGAUCUUGUGAAAGCAAGCAUUAAGUUAUGUGGUUAUAAAGGGAAAGCCGUUAGCUGAAAGUGAGGUUCGUAUUGACAUUAAAAAGUACUUGAGGAGGACCUCGUUUUAAGUCUUACAAUUUCAAGUACAAACUGCAGAUUGGUCUAGGGGGAAUGAUGUCACAUUAGUAUGGAAGAAUGGAACAAAGGAUGAUUGAAGAUAAUCUGGAUAAUGAAGUCCAAUAAUGAAAACUUCUUAAUGUAGUAUGGAAAUUGAAAUUCGAAAAUGCUUGAGGCAUGCACGAUUCAAAUGAGUCUAAGUUUUAGGUGACUCAUUAAAGUCGAAAUGCAACAAGGAUAAUAUAUAUAUAUAUAUAGGUUAGAGGUAUGAAGAAUAAUUGAGAAAUAAGGAUGACUUUAGGGAUUGUGGUAUUGCAUAACAUGCAAUGAUCUAAUAAAGAUGAACCCACCCUUGAGAGAUCAACAAGAUUAUAAAGCAUAUGCGGAUACUAAACUGCAAUUUAAUGAAAAUGACAUUUAGUAAGUGAGAUGUGAUUAAUGACAUUAUGAUGCACGGAUAUAUAGUAUGAUGAAACUCAAGCAUAUAACUGGAAAUGAUAUAAACGAUAUCAAGUUAUGUGUAGGCAUAACAAGAAUGUUGACAUGCACUAUGAGGAUUUUUAUAUUGAAUCUUGAAUAGGGAUGGGGAUGAAUAAAGGGAAACGUAGUCCAAGGCACGCGAACACAUGGAUCCCUAUUCCUAACGAGGAACGUUGACAUUUGAAAAUGCAUGUACAUACCGUUCAUGUGAAAUUGAUGACUUGAUCAACUGAGGUGAAAAAUUGUUCUCAAUAAUUUGAGAUUUGAACUUUAUGUAUUUGAUGAGUUGCAUACAUGGUAUAACAACAAGAAGUCCCAUUAGAAGUUGAACUAUGAUGAUAUAAGAAAUUUUGGAAAAUAGUCAGAGGAUUGAGACUAAAGAAUGCUAUGAAUAAUCGAAGUAUGUGGCGUAAAUGCAAGAUAAACCUGAAGUAUGUGGGAAUAUGUUAAGACCCGGAACUACCAUCGAGCCCGUGACAACCGCUGCGACGUCCCGAUAGGCAUUCAUUACCCGGAAUGUCAAUCAAAACCUUGCAAGGCUUAACAUCGGUUUUUCUCGCUUCCU